This 55941-nucleotide long non-coding RNA is filed under the name Citrus sinensis (sweet orange). RNAcentral describes it as "long non-coding RNA (CSIN_LNC001069)". The stretch from base 25470 to 25576 matches the Rfam family "Plant small nucleolar RNA R71". The record is from RNAcentral. Lineage: Eukaryota; Viridiplantae; Streptophyta; Magnoliopsida; Sapindales; Rutaceae.
GAGAAAUAGCUGAUGUGAUUUGGGAGGUGAGUUGCAAUUAUCCAAGAGGUGAUUUGGGAGGUGAAUUGAGUGUUUUAAAUUUAGAAUAACAUGGAGAGCUCAAUAGAGCUUGUGAGAGUUAAUUUAGAAAGUUGAUAUAGGAAGCUUUAGAGAGCUCAGGGAAUAGCUAUAGUGAAUGCAAGGAUAGCUUCAGAGAGCUAAUCUGCGAAUCUCAGAAGACUCAUGGUAUAAUUAAGUAAGUUUAUAUAUCAAAUGCAACUUGGGUAUCAAAACUAUCACAAUAAGAAUAAAAUAAGCAUAAACAAUAAAGAAUGCACAACAUUUUAUGUAGUUCAGCUUUUUGGCCUACAUCCAUUGAAGUAUUCAUCUCCAAUCCACAAUGUAUCUGAAUUAUUACAUGAUCUGCUUCAUGGCGUCAAUAAAACUUUAUUGAGGUUGUUUUUAGUGAAUAAUAACUUGAAGGAGAUGUGAGUAUUAUGGAAAUUAGAGAGUUUUCUAAGAGAAGAAUAGUUGAGGAGCUUAUUUGAGAGGUAAUGUGGUCAAGAUUUUCAAUGGAGUGUAAAAAUGGAAAGAGAAGAAGAUGAAGCAACCUCUCAAGAAAUCAAAUUUGCAAAAAAAAAGGGGGGGGGGGGCUUGGGUUAGAUGGAGCAAAAAGAGAGAGAUAUAGCUAGAGAGAGAGAGCUAGAGAUCCCUUUUAAAAUUGAAUUAUGGAGCUUAUAUAGGAGUGUUCCUGAGGGUAUUUUGGUACUUUUGGACAACUAGCGAAUUUUCAUUGGUUUGUCCUCCAUAAAUAAGGUUAUUUUAGCAUUUUUGCUUUAGUGAUCUCUUGAUGGUGAUAUCAAUGAGCUUGGGAGUAAAGAAACCUCCAGCCACUUUUUUGCCUCCACAGCUGGGCACAUGGUAGUCUCUCGGCCUUGUGAUCCUAUUGCUUUACUGGUGAUAUCAAAAGGACAGCUAAUGUGGCCUUUCCUCAUUGAUUGUAGAAUCUCUAUUUUUUUUAGCUCCUCGUCUUUAGCCAAAAUAAGAUAUUUAUGUCUCUCUCAUGAUUCUGUGCACUGUUCUUGUGUUGGCCUUAAUCAUCAAAAUCUAUCUUUCAAUAACACCGUUUGAUGUUGAGUAUUUUGCUAAAACUGUCCUUUCUUUUAGGAGCUUAUCUCCUAGUUUCUUGUGAGCUAAUCUAGUCAAACAAAGUGGCUUCUCUUUUUUGACUUUUCUUGCCCUGUGUCAUUGAGUUACUGGCCACGUUGGCACCCAAAUUUUCCCCAAAACAAAGAAUAAGUUAGCAUAGGCUUACCCUAUUGAAAUGAUCUUUUAGAGAACCAUUUGAUUGAGGACUUGGACAUUUGUUUACGAUGGCGCCGUGUCUUUUUGUCAGUGGAGAUACAAUUGUUUUAAAGCAGCCUGUAGAUUAAUAUAAUGGUCCGGAAAAUAUUAAAAGAAAUUCAAGCAUGGAAAUGAAGAAGACUCAAUGCAUUUUGGGAAACAAGAACUUACGAGGCUGUUGCAAAGAAUUGAAGUUUGGAGAGAAGUUUAAACUCUGCAUUUGAAGCAUGGUCAAUAUUUUGCUCUUUUUCUUCCCCUGCUAACUCUGAAAAUUUUGUUUUGUUCAUUAGUGAUAGAAUCCGGAAGAGAUUGAGGAAAGCUACGCAAUUAAUACGCACUUGCAAGACAGUUGACUAUGUAAACUAAUUACAGCCGUUUAUAUAUAGAAGUGAAAAUGUAAAGGCAUUAUAAAUACUUUUUUCAAAACCAAAGUUGGUUGGUGUGAGUGGUUCGGCACUCUCAUUCCUUAAGAGAGGUCAGGGGUUCAAGCCCCGCUCUCGUAUGGAGUCACCACUUUGGCCAACACUUUACUCCUUACGGGCCGACCCGGUGUGACCAGGAAUUAGUCUAGAUUGUGAUACGGGCUUAAAGGUGUCUCCCACAGUUGAGGCCCACUCAGGACCACCUUAUGAUUCAGACAAAAAAAAAAUAUUUUUUCUGAAAAAUGAUUUGGCACACUCUAUUUGCAUUAUAAUCUGGGUCAAUUGAGAAUCCAGAUACAUACAUUGUGCAACUCAAAAGUCUAUUGAUCAUAGUUCUGGAAUCUACUCUCAUUAAUAAUAUAAAAAGAAAUCUAUUCAUUUUCUAAAUUUUUUUAUGGAAAGAGGAAAGACCUUCCAUGGUACUCCAAUUCCAGUGGUAGCGUCAUGAAUAGUUUAUUGAAUUAGAGUUUUUUUGCUUACUUUCUUUUACCAUUUAUUAAGCCAAAUUAUCAUUCCAAUCUAACAAAGAUCAGUGGAUCUCUAAUGGAAACACAACCAAAUCAAUAGAACGUAGAUCAGAAAUCAGAGAAAGCAAAACUCACAAGAUUAUUAUUGUUUUUUUUUUAUGGCCACGGUGGUGGUGGCUAGGGUGUCCAAUUUUGGAUUUUCUACACUUUUCUUUUCUUUAUAAAUGGUGAUGGAGGAUUUGGAUGAUUAAUUUGUGGUGAAUAGAUAUGAUGGCCAGAAAAGCUGUGCGACUCACAUUAAUCUUCUCUUAUACCAAUUGGACAUGGUGGGGUAGCCGAAGCGGAUUGAGAUGGUAGAUAAGCAUUAUUAGUCCAAGCCAACAGAGUUAGAUUGCGCUCUAACAACAGCGUGAUUAGAUCUCGUUCUAAUACAAAUGGUUCAAUAAGAUUUUAAUAACACUUUUAUAGCGAGAUCAGAUGACGUUCUAAUCCAAAUGACUCUACAAGAAUGAUUUUCCUAAAUAAUCCGAAAGAGAAUUAUAAAAGAUGUGUUUCUAUUAAAUAAUUCAAUUUAAUUAACAAAGACGCAACUUUUUGAUUUAUAAUAAGGUGAACCUACAAGGUAAGAAGUUUUCAAGCAUAGAAAGCAGACUAGAAGCUCUUUCUCUUCCUCAACCUCGACCCCCUUACAAUUUUCUUAUUUCGCAAAUCAAAGCACCUGAACUUAGGAGUCAUAAAGCACUAUCCCAAGGAGCUUUCACAGCCUAAUCACAUCAAUGAACCAAAUUUUGGUAUCAACGGUAAGAUAAAAAUAAUAAAUAAGAUAACAUAUAAAUAGAAAUAAAUCUUUUUGUUUUCAUUAGUAAAUCUUCACUCGUUCCGUCGAGAUUACUUAAAAAUUAAUAAUUAAAGCUACGAGAUAAAAUAUUAUCUGAAGGUGCCAUAUUAAGGCAUAUAUUACAAUUUUAAAAAUUGGGUACUUUUCAUUACAGCUCACUUUAUUGCAAAUAAAUUGAAAAAAAAAACUUAAUUAACUCAUUAAACUGAUGGCUAGUUGAAAAUACAACAUCUUAACACAACAAUUAUUGUAAGCAGGAAACGAAGAUUCCAAAAACAAUGCAACCUUCUUAAUUUCUUUGGUUCUUAUCGUAGAAAAUGGAUAAGGAUGUAUUCAACAAAAGUUAACUGCAAAUAAACAACAUAUUUGUGUCAGAAGUUAAAUCACUAAUUAAAGAAGUAAUUAAGUAAUGGAAAUUGAUUAGUUGAUUUAACUCAGUAAUCACAAGUAAAAGAGAGUAAUCAAUCACUUGCCUUCCAAAUUAACAUGUAAAAACCAAAUGUUGAUUCAAAAUUGUCGAGAUCAACUUUUUUAGAUUGAAUCCACAAAAUCAAAGCAAGUAUGCUGUGGCCAAUUAUCUGCAAGAAAUUAAACGAACAAUCAUUAAUAAUAAUUUUUAAGUGACCAAGAUCAUCAACACAUUCAUGAAAAAUAUACAGGGCUAAAUUUCUUACGGUGACAAGCUUGUUUAUCAUGAAAGACGAGGAAGCCCCAGCUAUAAGAGCACAUCCGUAGCCCACUAACAUCGUAUUGACGCAAAGUGGAAACACCUUUUCAGAGAAAAGAAAAAAAAAUUGUAAGCCAAUCAUUACUUUACUAUGAUUUAUUUAUUUAAUUCUCUUUGAAGUAAUGGGAAUUAAUUAAAUAUUAUAUAAUAAUUAUGAUAUACCAACUUUUUCUUUUCCUAAAAGGACACACAGCGUAUUCAUGCCAAAUUUUUUAUCGCCUUCCACGUCUGGCAAAUCCUAUUAACAUAAUCACAUAAAAAGGUAAAAUAGUAAUCAUUUAUUUUCUAUUUAUCAGGAUUGAUAAACUUAUAAAAUUGGAAUAUUAAGUUAAAAUUAUUACCUUCAGAAGUCCGUUUACGAAUGCGAAGAUGGACAUGAUAGCCCCCAUUAAAAUUAACGGUCUUGUAAUUACGAAAGGUCUACCAAGCACAUAUUGCUGUAUAUAUGAAUCAAAAUUAAACUACUUCACAAAAAUUACAAAAAUGGAAAGAGAAAGACAAAAUUAUGACAUGGAAUCUAAUUGAUAAUCAUUUGCAAGAUGAAUCGAUUGUAUAUAUACCUGCGUGUGCAUGUAAAAAGGUAAUCCUGUCAAUCCCAUCGUAAUCACGAGACAGAGUGGAGCCAUAAAUGUAUGUGACUUCCAUCUAAGAAAGGGAAGCUGCAAUCAGGAUUAAAAAUAAUCAAUUAAACUAUUAAUUUAGAUUGGGUUAAUAUUAUGUUUUGUAAAUUAUUUUUCUUUAAUUAAAGGUAGCAGAUCGAUAAAAUUUAAAUUAAUUUUUUACUCUAAUAUUCGAAAUCAAGUAAAUAGUAAAAAGACCGCUUGAAAAUUUCUCUACCAAACCCUUGGGGCAAUAUAAUGUUUAUUAAAUUGCGUUACAGCAGCAUGCAACUGGGGCACUUACUGGCAGGGAAUAAGCGCAUCCACAUAGGAAAAACAAGAUUUGGUUCAAGAGAAGUGGUGGGGAUCCCGACAUAAUUGCCAAAGUGUAACUCUGAAAAAUUGGGAUCAAUUAAUGAAUUAAAAAUGUUACAAAUUAAAUAGACUUAAGUCUAUUUAUUAGAGGAUGCGGGUACUUGCUUACCAAGAUUGCGCUUCCUAUACAAAUCGCAAUUACAGUUCCCAUUGAUAAGUCGCCGGAAGCAAGCGGGAGAUACGGCUUGUUAAUCUUUAACAACAUUAAGUUUAUUUAUUAGCAAAAACAAACAAACAAACAAAUAGACAAAGAAUAUGAAGCGUCAAAGGAGCAUAUAUAUAAUAUCUCAACAUAUACAUAUAUGGAGUCAUGGUCAGAUAGGAUUGUUCGGAUUUUAUAAAAUUCGAAUUUAAACUAGAAUCAAACAAUAUAUGCAACUCUAGUUUUAGUUUAAAUUUAGAAAAUCCAGACGUCAGGACCUGAGCAUCAUUCUUAUAUAUAUAUGUGUGUACAUACCUUGUCUAUUUCAACAUCACAUAUCUGGUUUAAGGCCGUCAGAAAAGUGUUCAUCAGUAAUGUGGGGACUAUGACCUGAAAUAUAUAUCAAGACGAAUCAAUGUUAUUCAAACUAUCAUUUCCCAAUACGUAGUUGUAACUUUUAUUAAUUCUCUCUCAGCGCUUAAGAAAUAAUAUUUACCUUCGAUAUUUCAAUGAAAAAUCUUGGAGUCAAAUCAGCAAGACUUUGUACUGGAAGUAAAGAAACUGAUACAAUCCCAAAAACCUGCAAAAACAAAACUUGGAUCUCAUUUCUGUGAAUCUAGAAAGGAUUAAAAGAAAAAAGAAAAUGAAAAAAAACUUCAUAUCAUUAUUUGUUCUGUAUAAGAAGCAACUCACAAUGUUAACCCAAGUGUAUGAACGAACUAGAUGGUUGAUUGCAAUGAGCUUCUUCUUGAAAACUUCGAAAAAGCUUGGAGCUGCAGCUGCUGUGUUAUCAUCCUCGGAUUGUAAUGCAUUACCAUCUUGCAACGCCAAAGGAACAAGCUGUUUGUUCAAUGGUUUCUGACGAUCUCUAUUGCUAAUUAUACCCUCAUUAUUGAGUGCAAUUUUGUUUUGAUUUGGUAAAUGAAAUGAUCUUUGGGAGGAGCAUUUGAUUGAUGGGGACUUGUUGCUCGGACUUGUAUUUGAGAUGGCGCCGUGUCUUUGCGUCAAUGGCGAUGCAACUGUUUUAAGGCAACCUGAAGAUGAUUAAUGUUAAAAAAAUUUACUAAAGAAGAAGACCAGUAAUGGCAUUUGGGGUCACAAAGAGACUCACCAGGCUUUUGCAAAGGAUUAAAUUUUGGAGAGAAGUUUAGACGCUGCAGUUGAAGCAUGAUUGACUUUGUUCUGUUUCUUCCCCCAAGGUCCGACUUUAAAUUUGCUCUGGUUUUUUGGAUGGGAAGUCUCUGAAAAAUACCAAUAUAUAACGCUCCACCGCCGGACUAGGUAUGGACCCCAUAUAAUCUUAAAAUAAUUCUCGGCAGCCACGUUUGACUCAAUUAUUAUAUUUCAGGAAAAAAUUUGUUUAGUCCCUAUAUCAUGAGGUUAGCACCUAUUUAAUUUUUAUAUUUUUUAAAAUAGCUCAAAAUGUUCUUAUUUUUAAAUAUAGACCCUCGUGCUAUUAUUAUUAUUAUUUUUUAGCUUGUUUUUACAAUAUUAUACUUUACAGUAAUGUUUUUUUUUGUAUAUUAAUAAAAAAUUAAACUAUCAAAUUAAACCCAAAAAUAAAAUAAAACAAAAAAGAUAUAUAUUAAUUUUUGUUGAAGCUCAUGUAUGUCUAAAAAAAUUAAAAUUGUAAAAUAUUAAAUUAUCAAUUUUUUUAGAAAAUUAAUAUUUUACCUCCUCAGCAGAGUAUUCUACAAAAAUUAAUGUAUUUUUUAUUUUAUUUUUUGGUGUUAAACUAGUAAUUUAAUUUUUCUCUUUUUAAUGAUGUCUAAAAAAAGAAAUAUUAUUGUAAUAGAGUAAUAUUAUAAAAAUAAGUUAAAAAAACAAAAAAAAAUAGUAAUAGUAUCAAUAAUUUAAUAGUAGGGAUACUUUAAAUUAUUUUUAAAAAUAUAAAAAUUAAACGAAUACAAACUUAAAAAAUAGGAAUUAAACAAAAUUUUACACUUCUAUUCCCUAAAAUAAAGUGCGUCAGAUUCUGAAUCUGUAUAUGAUUGACUUGAAAUAGCUAAUCAUGUUCGUUUUGGGCUUUACAUUAUCUUUGAUGGUUACAGACAAUGAAAUGACGCCAUCACUAUUGUCAGUACUCAAUGGUCACUGCACGUCAAAUUCCAUUCACUCCGCAAUUAAUGCUGCGUUUAUUUUUUGGAUUGGAGUGGAAAUUUUGAGGAGCUGCGUUUAUUUUUUGGAUUGGAGUGGGAAUCUUGAGAAGUGGGAAUCCUUGGAUUAGGAGUGUGGAGUGGGAGUGGGAGUAAGGUGUUUACUUAGACUAAAUGAAAGUAUAGAUUGUCAAUUAGAAUCCCAAUUAUUUGUUUACUUUGUCUUGGAUUGGAAGUAAAUUGUUUUAAAUUAUAAUUUUAUCCUUAUGUACAGAAUUAUAAUUUGUAAUUAAAAAAUUAAUAAAAAAUAUAUUUGAAAAAUAAAAUAAAUAUUUUAUUAAAAAAAAAAAGCUGCUGUACCGUACAUCCGCCUUGGCCGUACAGCAGUUUUAUUUUAUUAAAUUUAAUAAAAUAAAUAUGAUAUAAUUAUUAUUUUUAAUAAAUAUGAUAUUAUUUAUUUUAUUAAAUAUUAUUUAUUUUAUUAAAUAUUAUUUAUUUUAUUAAAUAUUAUUUAUUUAUUUUAAUUUUAUAAGGAUAAAAUGGGAAGAGGGGGAGUGGAUUCCCACUCCCACCUCCCCCAAUGGGAGUGAGAAUCACACUCCCCACUCCAAAUUUGAGUGGGACCCACAAAUUCCCAUUCCCACUCUCCCUAUUUUUAAGGUAAGUAAACACUGGAGUAGGAGGAAUCCACACUCCACACUCCCACUUCAAAAAAUAAACACUACCUAAAUCUAGGAUCUUACAAUUUUAGGCAACUCCUUAAAUCUAGCAAUAGUUGGCAGCCAUGUGUCCUGAGGAGAGAGAAAAGGCAACUCCUUAAAUCUAGCAACUUUAGUUGGAAAGACGGUUGUACAUUUAUUAUACCCUUUGAAUUGACUUUUAAGAUUGCCAGAACAAUCACUAAAAAAAAAUGUUUAGGAUGAUUUUUUUUAAAUCAAUCUUUAAAUCAAAUAAAAAAACUAAAUUUUUAAUUUUUGUUGGAGUAAUUAAGUUAUUUCCUUGAAAUAGGCUUUUUUUAUAUUUCUUUUACAGUUUUAAACAUUUUGGAUAAAUUAUGUGAUCCUUAAAAUAUGAGAUUACAAAUUCAAUUUUUUUUUAAAAAUAAAAUAUUCUAGAAAUAUUUUUUUCUUUUUUAAUUUCUCAAAAAAUUCUCUUUAAGACAUGUCAAUAGUAGUUUUUUUAGACACCGAUUUAUAAAUUACCAUAAAAAACAUGGUUAUAUUUAUUAAAAAAUAAUGGGAUACACUAUUUAUUUUACAUGUCAUUUGGGAAACACAAUAUCAUCAAAAGUAAUGUUGUCUUUAUACAUUAAAAAAAUUAUGUAAGGCAAUACAAUUAUUCAUUGGUCAAAUAUCCAAACUUUUGAAGUUAGUGUGCAUGUGUAUGUAUAUUUGUACAUGUGUGUGUGUAACCAAAUGAGUGCUAAGUGAUCACUUACGAAGCAUGAAAGGGAGAAGAUUGCCUCUACUUAAUUAUAUAUCAUAAUUAAGGAAGAAAAUAAACCUCUACAUGCGUCACUGGGGUUCAAACCGAUGCCCUCACAAUUGUAAGUGCAAGGUCCUCAGGUAUGCCGGAAAUUAAUCCUUUUAUGAAGUUUCCCACCACUGUUUUUUUUUUUUUUCCAACUAAUUUCUAUCCGUUUGGAUUUUGGCAAACAAAUCCAACAAUUCAGCAAACAAAUCUAACGAAUAGUAGUGUGCCACCGCGAAGUCAAGUAACCGACUGACUCACUCGCAUGUCCUCAAAGGUCCAUUGCUUGAGUUUUUACAAACCUAAAAGUAAGUUUUACUCCAUUCAACAAGAAAGUAUUUGAUUAUAUUUAGUUACCCUCCAUUGUCAACUUAAAUUACACGUAAAUGCCAACUGAAUUUUCGCUUGCGUUUAUUUUUUUAUCUAAAAUUUGAAUGAAUAUAAAUUUUUUAAAGUCUUUAAAUAAAAAUGUUGGAAUGAAAUAUUUAUUUUUUUAAUAUCUGAAUGUAAGUGAGAUUUUAUUUUUUAAAUAAAAAAUAUCUUGAACAUAAUUAGCCGUUGUAAAUCAAAACAAAAAAAAUUAGACUUUAUAGUUUAAGAAAUAAGUAUAUUUAAUAAAGAUAUUUCUUAAAAUUAGACAUAAGUUACAAAAAUAAAUAAAUAAUUUAAAAUAUAUAUAUAAUAUUAAUAGAAUUUUAAAUUUUAGAUAUUUAACAAAUAAGCCCUUAAUUUACUCCUUAUUUACUGACGCAAGAUGAUAAUAUCAAAUUAAAAUAUUCAUCUAGUUGGCUGAAUAAUCUAUUCUACUCAUGAAAAAGCUAAAUAAAGUAAAGAAGCACGGGGCAUUUUAAGUGUAAUUAAGUAUGACAGCAAUGGGUAAAUAUCAUCGAAUAUAUUUAUUUUGGGGAUUGAGACAAAAGUUAUUUUUGAAAUUUAUAAGAAAUUUAAGUAGUGGACUCGUGUCCAUAUGAGGACACGCGACUGAGCAGUCGCUGCACUCCUUAUGGAUUGCCACUUGCUAGCCAUCAUGCACAUGAUCUUAUGCAUGAUUGCUAAUAAAAUUUCAAACUUUAAAUAUUUAACAAAUCACCUCUCACCAUUAUCAGCCCUCUUCCACUCUUUUUCAUAUUUUUUAAAAUCUAAAAUAUUCCCUACACCAUGGUUAAGUGAGGUACCCUGAUCCCAAAAAAAUAUAAACUUAUUGUUUUGGUGAGGUUUUUAUUCAUAUCCUUUAGAACUUGACACGACUUAAAAGUGUUUGAUUUACUCUCAAGUAUAAAAGUACCUAAUUAUAAUAUAUCUCGGUGAGUCCGAGAUCGAUCCACAGAGAAAAGAUUUAAUUUGUUUAUUUUAUUUUAGGGGAAUAUCCACCGUCCACCCGUUUUUUCCAACUUUUUCAAAAAUACCUAAUUAUAAUAUAUCUCGGUGAGUCCGAGAUCGAUCCACAGAGAAAAGAUUUAAUUUGUUUAUUUUAUUUUAGGGGAAUAUCCACCGUCCACCCGUUUUUUCCAACUUUUUCAAAAAUACACAAUUCUUUUUUUUUUUUAACUGGAAUCCACUUAAAUUUACAUUUUGUUUCACUUUUUCACUUCCGUUUGGAAUCCGUUAAGAAAACUAACGGAAACUUAAAAAAAUAACCAUUUUACCCCCAAAACGAAAAUUACAAUUUCACCUUAAAAAAUACUAAAAAUAAUCAGAUUUAAUGAUAAUUUUACUUUCUUUAUUAACCGAUGGGGAAAAUAUUUAGAUUUAAUUUGAUUAUUUUUGGCAAUUUUUAGGGUCAAAUUGUUAUUUUUGUUUUGGGGGGAAAAAUGGUCAUUUUUUUAAGUUUCUGUUAGUUUUCUUAACGGAUUCCAAACGGAAGUGGAAAAGUAAAAUAAAAUGUAACUUUAGGUGGAUUUCAGCAAAAAAAAAAAAGAAUUAUGUUCAGCCAAAAAAAAAAAGAAUUGUGUAUUUUUUGAAAAAGUUGGAAAAAACGGAUGGACGGUGGAUAUUUUUCCUUUAUUUUAUCUAAAAUUUGAAAAUAAAACUUAAAUAUAAACAACUUAAUUUAACUAUGUGAAUUCACUCUUAGUAGUAAAUAAAACUUAAUAAAUUCUUUUUGCCAUUUUUUUAGAUUUACUGCCCAAAAGAUUAAUUAUAUAAAUUAUUAUUAUUUUCCCUUUAAUUUUAUGAUGGAUUAAGUAUUCAUUGUGCCAAAAUUUAAUUUGUCUACAAUAUGUCAAAAUACCAUUUUACUAUACCUUAUAUUAAGAUAAAAAGAAUUUAUUGUGCCAAACUCUCUUGUUUGUGUACAAUAAAUCAAAAUUUUAUAAUAUAAAAUAUGUAUAAAAUUAAAUAGAAAAUAAUUUAGCUAGAGGUGUGUUCACCCCCUCUCUAUUUAUACUAUUACAUGGUAAAUCCACACCACACAAAUAAAAAAAUCUAAUUACAUCUUAACCUUACAUUUGUCCCACUAAUAAUCUCACUAAUAAAACAUAAACCUAACUUAUCUCAAGCAUAUCCAACACAUUCCAUUAACAAUUACCAUACCUAAUAUGAUAAAAAUUUAUAAUUUUAUAAUUACCACAUUUACCAUGGUAAAAACAUAAAAAAUUACAACAAAAGUCUUGGAUCCUCCUCGACAAUGACAUAAUUUCUCGGACUUCCGGAAUCCAAAUUUGACAUUCAUGCAUUUGUUCGGACUGAUUCACAAUAUGUUACACAAUUACAAAUAUAAAUUACAUUAAUAGCACAAAAUAACAUUUUUAUCCCUUAAUAAACAUAUAAUUUUUAACACUAAUCAGAACUCAAAAUCCACUUAAAACAAUUAGCGUCGUCUAUGUGGGGAGCGUAUAAAAAGCCUCCACAGUGGUUACUAGAUUGAUCGCGGUGUGUACUUAUAAAUUGUGGCACCUGACGUGCCCUCUUAUGUCGUGAUGACAUAUUUUGCACAAGUGAGAGAUGACAGCAGUGUGGAGGUCAACAAUCUAGCAAGAAGAACAACUUAGUCCAAUAAGGGCAAGUCCGUCAAAUAAUUUAUUGGUGUUUGCUCCAAUAAGGAGCUCGUUUCUUAAUGACGCUUUGAAGAACUUGCUCAUGCCAUUCUUCGGGCCGUAGGCUCUCAAAUACAUGAACCAGUAGAUCCUCCCACUACUUGAGACAUUCUAUUAACAUGGGUAGAAAAGCGAAUUGUCCCACACUUUGAAGUGCCCGAAUUGAAGGCAACGAAAUAAGGUAUGAUCCGCCAGGUACCCGACUUAAGUCACAACCCACAUCCCCUAGGGAGGAGCCUUAUACAGCCUCUAGCUACUUGCGAGCUUCUUAAAUGGGAGUGGUAUCUCAAGGUGCACCUAGGAUACCCCGUAAGUUCUUAAAAAAAAUAAAACACCUGGAAUCUCAAGUAAAGCUACUUUCUCAAAAGUAAAAUGCCGUAAAUACUCUAAUGCCAGUAGGGUACAACUCGCUAUUUACUAUGGAGAUUCAGACAACAAUUCUCCCAGAUAAUUACGCCAUGCUCAGGCACCCCAGUAUUUGGGUACCUCAGAUCCGAAAGAACACAUCAGACUGUAUCGUGAUUAAAUGCUUAUUAAGGGUGUCGACGACAAGGCUAUGUGUCAGAUGUUUCCUUACACACUUACCGGACUCACUAAAUCUUAGUUAAAUCUUUAAAGGUAGGUUAUUCUCCCUAGACCAGCUCCUUACGGAGUUCAUUCAUGAAUUUAGUUAUGUUGCCUCCCAUGAUCAAGCGGCAUUCAGGCUUGCCUUCUUUUAAGUAAGGGGAAUAUGAGCUUUUGCUGAUUAUGUAGCCCGUUUCCACCAAGAAGUAUUGUGGACAAGCAUGUAUGGUCAUCAACACACACUAAAACACUUUGAAAAAAAUAUGCAGUUAAGAAUGUUGUGGCAUUCCUUUCAAAAGUGUUGCUCUCUCUCAUAUGGGGAAGCCCUUCUUGAGCCUUGCAGCAAAUCGAGAUGGAUUAGAAGUGACACCUGAAAUGGCAAGAAGACAAAGCAGAGGAUAUGAAAAACAGGAAAAAACCUAAGAAGCCUGAAGUACCCUAAGAUAAGAUGCCCCGCCUACCACCACUUGUCAGAUCAUCUUAAUCAGACUGACAGAACCUUUAGAAAAAUCUUAGUAUGAAUCUCGUCAUGCUUUGAACUACUCUCUAAAACAGAUCUUCUACCAGAUUUGAGAUAGCGCCCUACUUCACCCACCCAGGCCCAUGCGCAUGUACCUUAACAUGAAGCGUAGCCUGAAGUAUUGCGAGUUUCAUGAGGAUUUCGGACAUAGCACGGCUGAGUGCUUCAGUUUGUGUGAGGAAAUCAAAUCUCUAAUUCUCAGUGGGCACCUCAAGGUGUUCGUCACAAAUAUGAGGCAAGCCUGGAAGUCUAUGGAGUAAGAUAAGGGCAACCAUGUACCUCAUACCAACCCUAAAUGUGAGGCACCCAAGGAUCCAAGAAAGAAGUUUAUGUUUGAAUGGUUGCACGCGAACCCACUUUAGCCGGCCAGUCCAAAAAGCCAUAAAAAUUAUAAUAGAUUUCCAUUGCCAAUUGUUAUCAUUGGCCAAGGAAUCCAUUUCAAUGACCAUGAGGUACCUCUCCAUCCCAUCUCAAUUUUUUUUAUAGAAAAAGAUGUUGAAGAUAUCUCGUACCCCAUGGUGACGCUUUGGUCAUCACUGUUAACAUGAAUAUAUCUAUAAUGAUGAUUUUGAUGAUAACAAACAAGAAAAAAAAAUGAUUAUGUUUUAAAAGCUCAAAUUAUUUUUCAUACUUUUUUAAAUAAAUCACUAUUUUGAUAAAGUAAAGGUUUUAUACUCAAAUGGAAAAUGAUUUGAUGAAAUUAGUUGUUUUUCAAGUUCAUGAUCUAAUUGAAUAGUUUUGAAAACUUUGAAAUUAACAAAUAAUUGCUUAAAAUUUUUAUAAAGUUUUAGGACAAAAUUAUAAUUUUGGAAAACAGCUCACCGUAGUGGUCACUGUAGCAAAUGGCUAACCGACAUCUUGAUAACGGCUAGCCGACAUCAAACAGAAUUGAAGAUUAGCCUCUGGACACUAACGGUGAUAUAGCUUAAUAACAGCUAACUGACUGAUAACUCUAUGAAAUAAGAGUUAUCAUGACACUUUUAUACUUAAAUCAAUAAUACUUAGAGAGUAAAUAAUGUGUUUUCAUUGCAUUUUUAUUAUAUUUUGUAUAAACAUUCAUCUUAGUUUAUUUGUAAUAAAUUUUGUUUGAUUUAGAAUAAUUUGUGUGUUAAAUCAUAUGCAUAAUUGUAAGUGUCCGGAAGCCCAAAUUUCAAGGAAGGAAUGUUUAUGCAAUAGGCUUGCAAAAGAUGGAAAAGAUUUUAGCUACAAAAGAAUUGAAACAAAUCUGGAACAAUGCAGUUGCUGUAGCAAUCCUAGAACAACGAUAAAGAAAAUUCCGUGCGGGAUACUUGCAGAAUUGUGAUCUGCAGUUUCCUAAUCUGACUUAUGCAUACCCUAAGCUUCCGUGUACCAUAAUUUUCAGCUAUAAAAGAAGCACACAUCAUAAGGAAUAAGAGGGGCUAUCACCCAAGGAGAAAAACCACAAAGAAACAAAAGAAAAAGAAGAUUCAAGAGAGAGAUUAAGGGCUACACAAGAGGAGAAAUUGCAGAGAUCAAUUGGGAGCUCAGUCCUUCUUAUUCUUCUCUUGUUUUCUUGUUUGCUAUUUAUUCAUGGGGAUGUGUUUCAUGGUCGAAACCUUGUUCUUUAUUUUUCUUUUGCAAAUCAUGAACUAAAUUUAUUUGUAGUUGAGUGAUAAACAAUCUUGAUGGUUUAUUGACUGAAAAUAUGAGUUGCUGUAUGUUUGUUGUAGCAUUUUAUUUUGAUAGAAUUUAUUUUUAUUCAUUAUUUCGGUUGAUCACCAAUUUAAUGAUAUUAGCUAAGGAAGAGCCACAAAAUGGUCUAUCUUAGUGGAACCUAUCAAAGCAAUACUUGAUAUUAAAUUGGAUUUCUUGGAUUGAGUUUUACUUGAGUCCCAAAAAGGUCAUGCUUGAUUUAAGAUUAGUGAUGAACUAGACAUAAGGAUUCACCUUGUAGGGUAAAUGGAACCUAAGCGUGUAAUGUUAUAUCUUAUGUUGACAUCACAACUGAUCAAUAUUAGGUUGCAUAUAGAUAUAAGAUAUCCAACAUGCGACGGCUGAGAAUGCAUAAGGAUUCUACCCAGUGCUGUAGCAGAUACUGCAGCAACCGAACCAACCAUUAGAAAAUAGUCAAAACCAUUAAGAAAGUUUAUUCACUCAACUACUCCAUAUUCCCAUUGGUUUUAUCCUUGAGUUUGACGUGAUAAUUUACUUUAUUGCAUUUUAUUUAUUGUGUUUUUAUUUUAAUUAGUAUAUUAGUUUCAUUAGUUGUUUUAUUUUAAUUUAGAACAAAAUCUGCACUGUUAAAAUUGUUGUAGCAAGUCUGAUAACAUCAAUCCCUGUGGAGAUGAUCUUAAAUAUUUAUCCUUAUAUUACUUGUUGUAUACACUUGCACAUUGACACUAAUAGCAUUAGUAUUUAUACCCAACACCGACAUCGAACAGAAUUGAAGAUUAGCCUCUGGACACUAAUGAUAAAUCGACUUCUUGAAAACGGUAACCUGACAUCUUCUUUGCAGGUCACUGGAUUAUAAGGGAGAGCCGACAAUUUAAAAUUCUAUCCAAUAGUAACUUGCUCAAGUCAAAACGGCAAUCCGACUUCGAGUUAACGGCAAUCCAACUUCGAGCAAAUUGUCUGUAACAACUAGUUUUCAGCUCAAACUAUAAAAAUGCUCAUUUAAACACAAGCUAUAAUGAUUCCAACUAUUAUCAUUGAGCAAACUAUUGAGCAUACAACUUUCAUUAAGCUUUAAAUUCUUGUAUUCAUCUCAUUCAUUCACACAUUGAGCUUUCAUUUGUGAUCAAACACAUUGUGUAAGAUAAAUUUAUUUUUAAUCUUUUUUGUAAAAUCAAGUUGAGAGGUUGUAAUUGUUGGGAUACACUUGGGUAAAGAGAUUGGGGAUAAUCUCUUGUUGUAAAGGUCUAUUGAUAGCUUGGAAGUCAAUUGUAAGAGUUGUUGAAGCCUUAGAGGCUAUCUUAGUAAAAUCCAUUAAGCCCGGUGAGCUUGGAGGCGUGGACGUAAGCACAGUUGGCCGAACCACGUAAAAGUCUCGUGUUUGCUCUCUCUUCCCCUAUCUCUUUAUUUUUUGUAUUAAGGAUCUUAGUAGCUUAAAUUUUUAGAAACCCAAUUCACCCCGUUCUUGGGUUGCCUAGUUAGAAUUUCAUUUGGUAUCAGAGCUUGGUGCUCUUGUUUAAACUUAACCGUCUAGAGUUAAAGAUUCAUGGCAACUCAAAAUGACUCUAUCUUUAGGGAAGGACAAUCCACAACUAGGCCACCAUUUUUUUAAGGUAAUAACUACCCAUAUUGGAAAACUAGGAUGAGAAUUUAUGUGCAAGCUUUCGAUUAUGAAAUUUGGGAAUUUUUUUGUGACGGCCCAUUCAUGCCAAUGACUAAAAAUGAAGUAGGAGAUGAUAUUCCAAAACCUUUAAGUCAAUGGAGUGAGUUAGAAAAGAAAAAGAUAUCUUUAAACUCUAAGGCAAUGAAUGCUUUAUUUUGUCCUCUUGAUAAGAAAGAGUUUCAUAGAGUGUCUAGUUGUGAGAGUACUCAAUAAAUAUAGGACAAACUUGAGGUUUUCUAUAAAGGGACAAAUCAAGUUAAAGAACCUAAAAUUAGUACAUACACUCGACAAUAUGAAUUGUUCAAAAUGGAAUAAAAUGAAAGUGCGUGUUCUAUAUAUACUAGAUUUAUGGACAUAGUGAACAUUCUAGGAGCUUUUUAGGAAAAAAUGUUUUCAAAUAGUGAGAAAAUUAAGAACAUUAUUAGGUCACUUCCAAAGGAAUGGAGACCUAAGAGGGCUGCCAUUGAGGAAGCUAAAGAUUUAAAUACCUUACCUAUUGAUGAUUUGAUUGGUUCUCUUAUUUCAUAUGAGGAAGACUUGGCAGCAUAUAAAGGCAAUGAGGAGAAGAAGAAAAGCAUUGCUCUCGAAGCCUCAAAACAUGAGAGUGAUGAGGAAAGUGAGCUGGAUGAUGAGGAGAUGACUAUACUGGCUAGGAGAUUCAGAAAAUUCUACAAGAAAACUAGUGAGCGGAGAAGGUUCAGAAACUACAAGAAUAAAAAAAAGACAAAGGAGUCAAUUACUUACAUGUGCAAAAAACCCGGACACAUACGAUCAGAGUGUCAUCUUCUCAACAAGCUCAAGAAGAAAACAAUGGUGACCACAUAGAAUGACAGCGAUGAGGAAACAAGUGAUGAUGAAAAGCAACAAGAAAUGACAAAUAUAGCUCUCAUGGCAAUCGAGGUAGAUCCAUUUGAUGACCUCGAUGAAGUAAGUGAUCUUUCUACAUAUGAUGAAUUACAUGAUGCUUUUAAAGAAUUGCAUGAUGAGUGGAUGAAAAUUAGUAAAAUGAAUGCAUGCCUUAAAAAGAACAUGGUAGAACUUUCAAAUGAAAAUGACGUUUUACAAAAAAAAUGUAAUGACUCAUUAAAUGAAAAGAUUAAAGGACUAGAGUUAGAUAAUCUAAUGUUGCAUGAUAAAAUUGCAUCAUUUAAAGGUAAACAAAGUAUUUUGUAUAAGCAUGAAAAAUCACAUGUUGAUGAAUUGAUGAAAGAAAAUGAAAUGCUCAAGAAAAAGAACAUAAAACUUAGUGAUGUUGUCUCAAAAUUUACAAAUGGGCAAAAGAUGUUGGAUAACUUGCUUAACUCACAAAAAUGUGUGUUUGACAAAGGAGGUACCUCUAUUAAUAAUCAAGUUAUAUGUCACCAUUGUAAUCAAGAUGGUCACAUGAAGUAUAAACGUUCAGUUAAAAGAAAUGCAUAUUAUGAAGUAAAAUGUGUUUGGGUUCCAAAAAGAACCAACGCUAACACUCAAAGACCCAAAAAGGUUUGGGUACCUAAGACUUAAGAUUUUCUUUGCAGGGUUUGAAGAAGAGGAAGAAUAAAUGGUAAUUGGACAAUGGUUGCUCAAGACAUAUGACCGGAAACUAUAUAUGGUUUUUAAGUUUUACCAAAAUCGAAAACGGUGGAAAUGUUUCAUUUGGAGACAAUUUAAAGGGAAAGAUUCUCGGAAUGGGUAAUAUCGGUAAAGUAUCCUCAACUUUAAUUGAGAAUGUAUGUUUAGUUGAAAAUUUGAAACACAACUUGAUUAAUAUUAGUCAAUUGUGUAAUAAGGGUUAUAAAGUUAUUUUUGAUAAAACGAGAUGUGUUAUUGAAAAUGCAUGUGAUGGUAAAAUUUUAUUUGUUAGAAAUAGAUGUAGUAAUGUUUAUACCAUUGAUAUAGAUUGUGCAUCUACUAUCGAUAAGUGAUUUUCCGCAUUGCAUGAUGAUGGUUAGUUAUGGCAUAUAAGACUAGGUCAUGCUAGCAUGGAUUUGAUUUCAAAAAUCUCGAAAAAUGAUUUGGUUAAACGUCUAUCAAAAAACUAGUUUUCAAAAUGAUAGAAUUUGUGAAGCUUGCCAAUUUGCAAAAAAAAAAUCAAAACUUUUAAAAAAAACAAGAACCAUGUCUCUACUUCAAAACCACUUCGAUUACUUCACAUGAACUUGUUUGGACCUUCUAGAUAUGUUAGUUUAAGUGGAAAAUAUUAUGCAUUUGUAAUUGUGGAUGAUUAUUCUAGAUACACAUGGGUAUUGUUCUUAACUAAUAAGGAUAAUGCCUUUGAUGCAUUUCUUGUAUUAGAAGUGAUCAUGGUGGAGAACUUGAAAAUCAUGCAUUUGAGAAUUUUUGUAAUGAUUUUGGGAUUGAGCAACAAUUUUCAUCACCUAGGACUCCACAACAAAAUGGAGUUGUUGACAGAAAGAAUAGGUCUAUCCAAGAAAUGGCUAGGAUCAUGUUGAAUGAAAAUACUUUGCCAAAGUACUUUUGGGCCGAAGUUGUUAACACUGCUUGUUAUGUUUUAAAUCGUGUGUUGAUUAGACCUUAUCUUAAUAAGACUCCCAAUGAGUUUUGGAAAGAUAGAAAACCCAACAUUGAUUUUUUCAAAAUUUUUGGAUGCAAAUGUUUUAUUUUAAACACAAAAGAUAAUCUUGGCAAAUUUGAUCCAAAAUCUGAUGUUGAUAUUUUUCUUGGCUAUUCAAAUACAAGCAAAGUUUAUAGAGUGUACAAUAAACGAGCUUUGGUUGUGGAAGAAUCUAUGCAUGUUACAUUUGAUGAAUCUAACCAUUCCUCUACGGAGAAAGUUGUUGUUGACGAUAAUGCAAAUAAAAAGCUACAAGAAGAUUCAUCAAAGAAUAGCCAAAAGGAUGCACCACUUGAAAAUCAAGAGGAGCACGUGAAGAAACAAAUGCGGAGCAAAAUGAAGGCAUUUCUCAAACACUCCCUAAGGAGUAGCGGUCUAAAGACUUAAUUUUAGGAGGCCACUAGAUCAUCAUUUAGAAAUACUUGUGAGCAUGCUGCAUUCAUAUCUCAAAUUGAACCAAAAUCUUUUGCGGAUGCGGAAAAUGAUGAAUCUUGGAUUAUGACAAUGCAAGAGGAGUUGAAUCAAUUUGAGAGAAGAAUAUGUGGGCAUUGGUUCCUAAACCUGAACAUCAAUCUAUUAUAGGCACUAAAUGGGUAUUUAGAAAUAAAAUGGAUGAAUCCGGUGUGGUUAUAAGAAAUAAAGCUAGAUUAGUGGCUCAAUGGUACGACCAAGAAGAAGGAAUUGAUUUUGAUGAAACAUUUGCACCUGUAGCUAGAUUAGAAUCCAUUAGGAUGCUUUUAGCAUUUACAUGUUAUAAAGAUUUCAUUUUAUAUCAAAUGGAUGUCAAAAGUACAUUUUCAAAUGGAUACAUUAUGGAGGAAGUUUAUGUGAAACAACCCUAUGGUUUUGAAAAUGAAAAUUUUUCAAAUCACAUUUAUAAGUUAACAAAAGCAUUGUAUGGUUUAAAACAAGCACCUAGAGUAUGGCAUGAUUGACUUAAAAAUUUCUUACUGGAUAAUGGUUUUUCAAUGGGAAAGACUGGUACAACUAUUUUUAUUAAACAUAAGAAUCGAGAUAUUCUCAUUGUCCAAAUUUAUGUUGAUGAUAUUAUUUUCGGUUCUAUUAAUGAGUUUUUGUGUAAGGCGUUUUCAUCUUGUAUGAGCAAAAAAUUUGAGAUGAGCAUGAUGGGAGAAUUAAAGUACUUUCUUGGACUUCAAAUAAAACAAACUGAAGAAGAAAUCUUCAUCAAUCAAGCCAAAUAUCUAAGAGAUUUACUCAAGAGAUUCGGACUUGAAGAUGAAAAGAUAAAAAGUACUCCAAUGAGCUCGACCAUCAAGCUUGACGAGGAUGAAAAAGGUAAGGAAGUUGAUGUCAAAGCAUAUCGAGGUAUGAUUGGAUUAUUACUCUACUUGAUUGCUAAUAGGCCUGAUAUUAUGUUUAGUGUAUGCUUGUAUGCAAGAUUUCAAUCAUGUCCUAAAGAAUCUCAUUUGCUUGUGGUAAAAAGGAUUGUUUGUUAUUUAAGUAGAACUAUAGGUCUUGGCUUUUGGUAUCCUAAGGGAACACAUAUGGACUUAACAUGUUAUUCAGAUGCCAAUUUUGCCGAAUAUAAAGUUGAUAGGAAAAGCACUAGUAGAACAUGCCAUUUUCUAGGUUAUUCCUUAGCCUCUUGGUUUAACAAGAAACAAAAUUCAGUUGUACUUUCUACAACUGAAGCAGAAUACAUUGUGGCUAGAAAUUUUUGUGCACAAGCAUUGUGGAUGAAACAAACACUUAGAGAUUAUGGUAUUGCAUUAGAUCAUUUUCCCAUUAAAUGUGAUAACACAAGUGUUAUUAAUCUAUCGAAGAAUCCCAUGCAUCAUUCUAGGAGUAAGCAUAUAGAAAUUAGACAUUAUUUUCUAAGAGUUUGUGUUAAAAAUGAGAUAUUGUGAUUGAGUUUUUUUUUCCACCGAAAAACAAUUUGCUAAUAUUUUUACUAAACCCCAGUCCCAAAUUGAAAAAUCCUUAUUUUGAAACCCUAGAACUGCCGCACCUUUUCUCUCUCGAUUUGGCCAACUUUUCAUCAAUUUUUUGUUAAACGAAAUCUUAGAUACAAUUCUUUUGCCUUCUAACUUCAUUUUUAUCGGUUUAUUUUCCUACAAACUCAUUAAUUUCUAAAAUUCCUGUUUGUUCACUACAAUGAACAGUCGACGACAACAACCUAGGAGGGGUGCUCGAACCAAGCACGCUGCUCCAACCAAUCUUAGUUCCUCUAGGCCUCUCUCUCAGGACUUCGACAACCUUCAUUUUCCAAAUGGUCACUGUUGGUGUAUAAAUACUAAUGAUGUUGGUGUCAAUGUGCAAGUGUACACAACAAGUAAUAAAGUGAUGAGUAUUCAAGAUCGUCUCGACAAGGAUUGAUGUUAUCAGAUUUACUACAGCAAUCUUAACAGUGUAGAUUUUUGUGCUAAAAUAAAAUAAAACAAUUGGUGAAACUAUUAUACUAAUUAAAAUAAAAGCGCAAUAAAUAAAAUGCAACAAAGUAAAUUAUCUCGUCAAACUCAAGGAUAAAACUAAUGGGAAUAUAUAGUAGUUGAGUGAAUAAACUCUCUUAAUGGUCUUAACUAUUUUCUAAUGGUUGGCUCAGUUGCUGCAGUAUUUGCUACAGCACUGGGCAGAAUCCUUAUGUAUCCUCAGCCGUCGCAUGUUGGAUAUCUUAUAUCUAUAUGCAACCUAACAGUGAUCAGUUGCUAUGCCAACAUAAGAUAUAGCAUUACACGCUUAGGUUCUAUUUACCCUACAAGGUGAAUCCUUAUGUCUAGUUCAUCACUAAUCUUAAAUCAAGCAUGGCCCUUUGGGACUCAAGUAAAACUCAAUCCGGGAAACUCGAUUUAAGAUCAAGUAUUGUUCUGAUAUGUUCCACUAAGAUAGGCCCUUUUGCGGCUCUCUCCUAACUUGUAUCAUUAAAUGGGUGAUCAACCGAAAUAAUGAAUAAAAGAAAAUACUAUCGAAACAAACUGCUACAGCAAACAUGCAGCAACACAUAUAUUCAGUCAAUAAACCAUCAAGAUUGUUUAUCACUCAACCACAAAUAAAUUUAGUUCAUGGUUUGUAAAAGAAAAAUAAAGAACAAAGUUUUAGCCAUGAAACACAUCCCCAUAAAUAAAUAGAAAACGAGAAAACAAGAGAAGAAUAAGAAGGAUUGAGCUCCCAAUUGAUUUAUGGAAAUUCUCCUCUUGUGCAGCCCUUAAUCUCUCUCUUGAAUCUUGUUUUUCUUUUGUUUCUUUGUGUUUUUCUCCUUGGGUGACGGCCCCUUUAAUUCUUAUGAUGUGUGCUUCUUUUAUAGUUGAAAAUUAGGGUAAACGGAAGUCUAAGGCGCGCAUAAGUCAGAUUAGGAAACUGCAGAUUGUAAUUCUGCAAGUAUCCCGCACGAAAUUUUCUCUGUCGUUGUUCUAGGAUUGCUACAGCAAUAGCUACAGAAAUGGUUGCUACAGUAACGGCUACAGCAACUGCACUGUUCCAGAUUUGUUUCAACUCUUUUGUAGCCAUGUUCUUUCCUUAUUUUUGUAAGCCUAUUGCAUAGCAUUCCUUCCAUGAAUUAUAAGCUUCUGGAAACCUACAAUUAUGCACACAAUUUGAUCUUGAUUCAAGUCUAGAAUUGAUGUAAUAACUCUCAUUUUAUAGACUUAUCACACCCCCAAACUUAAACCAUUACUUGUCCUCAAGUAAUGACAACAACGCUAACACUUCAAUCACACAAUCAUGCAACAAAUAACUUAGCUCUGUCAUCAGAUUUGCAAGGAUUCUUCCACCCUCAUAUCACACUUUUAAUCAUGCAAAAUAGUCAUAGCAAUUUAGUUCUAGACUUAGGCUUCAUUCUGUCCAUAAUUUUUUUUUUCAGUUAAACCCUUCAAUACAACAUUGAGCUUUCAUGUGAAUGCAUAUCACUUGUAAUGACGACACCCAAUUACUCACUCAAAGUACAUGUCAGAGUUGGUACAACAAUACAUCCACGAUGUUAUAUCUAGGUCAUACCUUUGGACGCCUUUGACUCAAGGCUGAACAUGGGGCUCAUGAACAGACCAGGUUACUCAGUAUCCUAGGCAGCGGACCUCUUUAUCACCAUUUUUUUUUUGCUUUUCUUAUUUUUUUUCUCUUUUUUUUUUAUAAUUGCUGCAGCACUGCUCGUAGCUCGUGUUGCCUUUGGACUCAAGUUUGCAUAUGGGGUGCAUACUCAACCCUGGUUACUCAGCAACUUAAACCAUUGGAGCAUAAUUUAUUUCAUAACAGGCACAGUCCAACAAAAAUUUUUCCCCAAACUUGAGAUAUUUUCUACUCUUUUUUUUUUUCCUGGCUCUGCUACAGGAUUCUCAUAAAACUCAACCAAAGUCUAAGUGUCGGGACAACAUUUCAACCUCCAUCUAUAACUAUCUCUACUUGGCUUUCUCAUAAAUACUGAAUAACACUCAAUUUAUCUUCAUUAGGUUUUCAAAUCCAAACACAAAUAUUAGAUAACAGAGCUUCACACAACACAAGCAUAAACACAUGUACUCAGAAACACAACCCCCCCAAACUUGAGUGGUGCUGUGCCCUCACAAGCACAUAAAACAAAACCACAUAAACCAGACAUGCAUACGUGAAAUAAAAGGACAUGCAGAAUGAAUUAGAAAGUUAAAACUAAAUAAAAGAAAAUUUUUUCAGCAAGAAGUAAAAUAAACUAGCGGUUAGGGGUACUGCCCUGUUGUUGGAAGCACUGCUGCAGCACAGGCUAUAAAGGGUCAUUUCUUCUUUGAUCCACUUCUCAAACGCUCCUUAUCAUAAAAUCUUAUCAAUCCAUUUGUUGCUGCAAAAGCAAGAAAUGCCUCUGUUGUUUGAGAAUCUUCUGUUAUAUGUCAUGCUGUAAGUGAUGCUGCAGCAAUUCCCUCAUGCUCUUUUUGGCACACAUGUUUUUUUUUACUUGUUGCAAUGUAACAUAAACACUUAAAAAAAUUAGAUGCACACUUAAAAUAACAAAAAGACAAGUUAAAUAAUUUAAAAGCUAAAUUUAAUGCCUUAAAAACUUGAAACAACUUCCCUUAUUGGGUUGCCUCCCAAUUAGCUCUUGAUUUUCGGUCUUUCAGCCUGACCUUUCUUGUUUCCUCAACCUGGAUCCUUCAAGAACCGAUCCUUCCUUAGGUUGUUCACAUCAUCUCCCAUAUAGUGCUUUACUCUUGGCCCAUUAACCUUGAAUUCUUGUUGUUCUGGAGUGAGUUCCCUUUGCUGGAUUUGCUCAUCAAUUUUGAAGGGUUGCUUCUCCCCUGACCAUGUUAUAUUAGCUGCUCCACGAUCUUCAUCAUUAAAUUCUUCAAAUGUUACAGCAUUGAUUUCUUCUUUACAGCAGCAGCUGUGUAAUCUCUCUGCUACAAUAAAGUCCACAUCACUGAUAAAAUUACAAUCCUCAAUCUCAUCGGGACUCUUCAUGGCAUCCAGCACAUUGAAUGUAACUUGCUGGUCAUUCACCCUCAUGGUUAAUUCUCAUUUUUGAACAUCAAUUAGAGUCUUUCCCGUAGCUAAGAAAGGUCUUUCGAGAAUGAUUGGCACUUCUUUGUCUGCCUCAAAGUCUAGCACAAUGAAAUCCACCGGAAAAAUAAAUUUAUCCACAUUCACCAAUACAUCUUCAAUCUUCCUUUCUGGAUAGGCAUGAGAUCGGUCAUCAAGUUGUAGGGUCACUGUUGUUAGUCUACAUUCACCAACUCCCAAUUGCUUAAACACUGAUAAAGGCAUGAGAUUGAUGCUAGCCCCCAAAUCACAAAGUGCUUUGCCAUUGUAUUUAGUGCCUAUGGAGCAUGGGAUUGUGAAGCUUCCUGGAUCCUUCAUCUUCUGUGGUAUCUUACUCUGGAGCAUUCGGCUGCACUCUUGUGUUAGAGCAACUGUUUCAAACUCUCCAAGUCUUCUUUUCUUUGUCAAGAUAUCCUUAAAAAAUUUCGCAUAAUUUGGCAUUUGUUCUAGAGCUUCCACAAAAGGGAUAUUGAUAUGUAGCUAUUUCAGUACUCCUAAGAUUUUGCUGAACUGCUUGUCUUGUUUUUGCUUCUGAAACCUUUGAAGAAACAGUGGUGGAUGUCUAAACUGUUGUGCUGCAGCAGGUUGUGCAGACUGCUUCUCUUUUUCCAUGUUCUAGGUUGGUGCUACAGCCUCGUUAUCCACAGGUGUUAGAUUAUCAUUUUCGGCAAAUGCUGCAGCUUGACUGCUCUCACCAGUGUACUGUAAAGUGGAGGAUUGUGACUCUUUUUCAAGUUGAGUUUCUUUCCGGAUUGAAGUGGGCGCAACUUUUCUUUUUGGUACACCAAUGAGACUAUGAACAUCCUUUCCAGAUCUCAAGUUAAUCACUUUGCAGUACUCUUUCCCUUCUCUUCUUGGGUCCUCUGUAUUACUGGGUAAACUACCUUUAGGUCUGUUGCUCAAUGCUGCAGCAAGCUGUCCAAUUUGAUUUUCUAAGUUUCUCAACGACAUAGUAUGACUUUGGACAACUGCUUCAUUCCUCACAAUAUAAUCCUUAAUCAAACCUUCAAGGGAGCUGAGUUGAUCAUUGUUGAUGCUUCUUUGCUCUUGAUUUUGCUGAUAAAAUCCAGGUGGUUGAGCAGGUCUGUUCUGCCCACUGAGUGCUACAGUAGGCUGAUUCUGAUUAUUCCAUGAAAAGUUUAGGUGUUGUCUCCAUCCAGAGUUGUAAGUGUUUGAAUAUGGAUUGUCCUGGUUCUGUCUAUUGAAGUUGCCCACAUAAUUGACUGAAGUUGGAUUCCCAGGACAAUUGUCGAAUAAAUGCCCUUCUCCACAAUAAACGCAAGACACGUCAGAAAUUUGGUUAACAGUUGCUGGAGCAACAGUCAUAGCUUUUACCAUCUUUGUUAAUGAAGUUACUUGGGCUGACAAUGCUGUCAAGGCAUCUACGUUAUGAACUCCUGUUGUUCCUCUUGUUGCAGCUUGUCUGGUUGAUGGCCACUAAUAGUUAUUGUUGGCUAUCCUCUCCAAAAUUUCAUAAGCCUCAUUGUAAGACUUAGAUAACAAGGCCCCAUUUGCUGAAGCAUCCACCAUCAAUCUAGUGCUUUGGUUGAGACCAUUAUAGAAAGUUUCCAACUGUAUGCAGCAAAGAAUACCAUGAUGAGGACCUCUCCUGAGUAACUCCUUAAAUCUCUCUCAUGCAUCACACAAGCUCUCAUCUUCAAGUUGAUGGAAAGAUGUGAUCUCGUUCCUCAACUUUGCAUUCUUGGUUGGCGGGAAGUAUUUCAUCAAAAAUUUGUCAGCCAAAUCAUUCCAUGUAGUGAUAGAAUCUAGUGGUAGAGAAUUCAACCAUGCUCUUGCUCGAUCUCUCAAAGAAAACGAGAAAAGUCUGAGUCUUAAUGCUUCUUGCGAUGCUCCAGCAAUCUUGAAAACAUCACUUACUUCCAAAAAUAGCUUAAGAUGUAGAUGAAGAUCUUCUUAUGGUUGUCCAUUAAAUUGCCCCACUGUUUGUAGCAUCUGAAACAUCACUGGUUUGAGCUCAAAAUUGUCAGCUUGAACUUCGGGUCUAACUAUUCCCGAAUGUAUGGCUUGAGGAGUUAAUACUGCGUAGUCUCAAAUGGCUCUAUCUCUAUCGUUCGCCAUGUGAAUAAUGUUGUUGUUCCCUGGUUGCCUUUGAACACAUUGUCCAUUCAGACCUUCAUGUACGGUUCAAGUUUCUCAAAUCUUGUAAAUCAUCCAUUGCUACAGCAGCUUGUAAUUCCUGAGGCUCUGUUCUCAAUCUUCUUGCAGUUCUUUCAAUUUCUGGAUCAAACUGGAAGUCAACAGAUUUAUAUUUGCGCAUGCAAGGGUUGCUAGAUCACCUAUGUCAACAAAAUAAACAAAUUAAAAUAAAAUAAAAUAAUUAGCACCGUUAAAACUAAUUUCACAAAUCACAAUUAACAAUCAAUCCCCGGCAACGGCACCAAAAAAAUUUUUGUGUAUAAAUACUAAUGAUGUUGGUGUCAAUGUGCAAGUGUACACAACAAGUAAUAAAGUGAUGAGUAUUCAAGAUCGUCUCCACAGGGAUUGAUGUUAUCAGAUUUGCUACAGCAAUCUUAACAGUGCAGAUUUUUGUGCUAAAAUAAAAUAAAACAAUUGGUGAAACUAUUAUACUAAUUAAAAUAAAAGCGUUACACGCUUAGGUUCUAUUUACCCUACAAGGUGAAUCCUUAUGUCUAGUUCAUCACUAAUCUUAAAUCAAGCAUGGCCCUUUGGGACUCAAGUAAAACUCAAUCCGGGAAACUCGAUUUAAGAUCAAGUAUUGUUCUGAUAUGUUCCACUAAGAUAGGCCCUUUUGCGGCUCUCUCCUAACUUGUAUCAUUAAAUGGGUGAUCAACCGAAAUAAUGAAUAAAAGAAAAUACUAUCGAAACAAACUGCUACAGCAAACAUGCAGCAACACAUAUAUUCAGUCAAUAAACCAUCAAGAUUGUUUAUCACUCAACCACAAAUAAAUUUAGUUCAUGGUUUGUAAAAGAAAAAUAAAGAACAAAGUUUUAGCCAUGAAACACAUCCCCAUAAAUAAAUAGAAAACGAGAAAACAAGAGAAGAAUAAGAAUGAUUGAGCUCCCAAUUGAUUUCUACAAAUUCUCCUCUUGUGCAGCCCUUAAUCUCUCUCUUGAAUCUUGUUUUUCUUUUGUUUCUUUGUGUUUUUCUCCUUGGGUGACGGCCCUUUUAAUUCUUAUGAUGUGUGCUUCUUUUAUAGUUGAAAAUUAGGGUAAACGGAAGCCUAGGGCGCGCAUAAGUCAGAUUAGGAAACUGCAGAUCGCAAUUUUGCAAGUAUCCCGCAUGGAAUUUUCUCUGUCGUUGUUCUAGGAUUGCUACAGCAAUGGUUGCUACAGCAACUGCACUGUUCCAGAUUUGUUUCAACUCUUUUGUAGCCAUGUUCUUUCCUUAUUUUUGCUAGCCUAUUACAUAGCAUUCCUUCCAUGAAUUAUAAGCUUCUGGAAACCUACAAUUAUGCACACAAUUCGAGCACAAAUUACUUUAAAUCGAGCAAAACUUAUUAAGACUGACUAAAAUGAUUAUUUAUGCAAAAUAUAAUAAAAAUGCAAUAGAAACACAUAAUUUACUCUCUAAGUAGUAUUGAUUUAAGCCUAAAAGUGCCAUGAUAACUCUCAUUUCAUAGAGUUAUCAGUCACAUGGCUUAACGUUUCCACAUAAGCUUAAUGAGAAAAACUGUAACUUCUUCAUUCUACAUUGAUAUUGAUGAGUUCUCUGAUAUUACUAUAUGUGGUAGAACUAUUCCUCAAAUUCUAAGGCAAUGAGAUGAAGCCUAAGAUGUUGAAGAGCAAGUCUAUGAAAACCUAGGUAGGGUGUUUUACUCUAAUAUGGAGUUUUCAGUUACCUGAAAAGAUAGGAUAGUGACAGAUGUUAAGGUAUUAUGAUGGCAUUAGGAACAUCUGUAGACGACGCGAUCUCUCUGACAACGUCUGUUCAUUGUCUUUUCGGUCCCAACUUUUACCCUUCGAGGUCCGUAUUCUACAUAGUAUACUCUAGCACAUGAUUACACCUAGACAAGGUCACAGUGAUGAGGUAACUAAAUUGGAUGUUGCUUUACUUGAUUCUCUCAUCUGUGGAAGGAAAGUGAAACUCGCAUUCACAAUCAUGCGUCACAUGCUAUCUACUCCUGCUGUGACUAACCGGUCUCUUCCAUAUGGUAGCAUUAUCAGUAGAAUCCUUAGGCAUUUUCACGUUCCCUUGACCAAACUUGUCUAUGUUAAGAUAAAAAACUGGGUAGGGAAAUUAUUUCGGGAAUUGGCUUUCACUAGAAGCAGGGGAAGUGGAUCAAAAUCCUAUUCUUUUUUAUGAUGAAGAUAUUUUAGUAGCUUCGAAGGAUAACCAAAUGCUUAAUGAUAUUUAUUUCGAGGAUGAGUUACUUGAUUUUCGACUCGGCACUAGACCUCGUGCACCUCGCUGGGCUGCAGCAGCCCAAUCUCAGGAUGAGGAGCCAGCCAAGCUAGUAGAGCACCCUGAGGCAGCUUCAGUUUCUAAGGAUCGCAUACAGCAGCUUUUCGACAAAGUGGAUACCCUCUUCAUGCAGCAGCAGCAGCUUCAAUCCCAAUUUCAGACAUUUCAGUAGCAGAAACUUCUUGAUGGUCAGCGACGCAUCCUUGCUUCCCUUGGUUUCCAUCUUGGUGGUUCCUCCUCGCAGCCCCCAUCUUAGUUUCUGCAUUUAUGUUUUUCGCACAUACAUUCCUCCUCUCGUUUGUUUUAUGUUUUGGAUGAUAUCAUGUAGUUUUUAUGGUGAUAUUUGGAUUGCAAAGUUAUUUUUAAUUUAACUUGAUGAUUUUGAUGAUUAAAUGGUUACAUACAUGUUGGUUAUUUAAGCUUUGAUUGUGAUUGUAAUGUUUUUGAUGAUAUGUUGCUUAUCUGGUUGCAAAAUUGAUGAAUAUGGAGUUUUGUUGAUUAAUUGAAUCUUAUAUGGGAGUGUUCAUAAAGUAAAAGUUUUAUACUCAAAUGGAAAAUGAUUUGAUGAAAUUGGUUGUUUUCAAGUUCAUGAUCUAAUUCAAAAGUUUUGAAAACUUUGAAAUUAACAAGUAAUUGCUUAAAAUUCUGGAAAUGGACUUAUUUGACAAGUUUCAAAAAGUUUUAGGUCAUAGUAUAAGUUUAUAAAGUUUUGGGGCAAACUUAUAAUUUUAAAAAAUAGUUUAUUGUAGUAGUUCACUGUAGACAUUAAAUAGAAUUGAAGAUUAGCCUCUGGACACUAAUGGCAAUCCGACAGCUUAAUAACUGCUAAUUGAUAUCGAACAAAACUGAAAAUUAGCCUUUGGACACUAAUGGUAAAUCUGCUUCUUGAAAACGGUCAGCCGACAUCUUUUUUACUGGUCAUUAGACGAUAACGGAGAGCCGACAUUUCAAUAAUAGUGAUCCGACAAUUUGAAAUUCUGUCCAACGGUAACUUGCUCAAGUCAAAAUGACAAUUUGACUUCGAGUUAACGGUGAUCCGCCUUCGAGCAAAUUAUUUGUAACAGCUAGUUUUCAUCUCAAACUAUAAAAAGGCUCAUUUAAACACAAAUUAUAAUGAUUCCAACUGUUGUCAUUGAGUAAACUAUUGAGCAUACAACUUUCAUUAAGCUUUAAAUUCUUGUAUUCACCUAAUUCAUUGAGCUUUAAAUUCUUAUAUUCAUCUCAUUCAUUCACACAUUGAGCUUUCAUUUGUGAUCAAACACAUUAUGUGAGAGAAAUUUAUUUGUAAUCAUUUUUGUGAGAUUAAGUUGAGAGGUUGUAAGUGUUGGGAUAUACUUGGGUUAAGAGAUUGGGGAUAAUCUCUCAUUGUAAAGGUCCAUUGACACCUUGAAAGUCAAUUGUAAGAGUUGUUGAAGCCUUGGAGGCUUAUUUAGUGAAAUCCUUAAGCCUAGUGAGCUUAGAGGCGUGGAUGUAGGCACGGUUGGCUGAAGCAUGUAAAAAUCUCGUGUUUGCUCUCUCUUACCCUACCUCUUUAUUUUUUAUUGCACAUUAAUUUUUUCAUUUCAAAUUUAUUUGCUUUGUUUAAAUUGUAUUAAGUUUCUUAGUAGCUUAAAUUUUUAGAAACACAAUUCACCCCCUCUUGGGUUGCCUAGUUAGUAUUUCAAUCACAUUAAAGGUUGCUACUGAUAAUGUGGCAAGAACGUUGGUGGACAUUGGCAGUUCUGUAGACAUUAUCUUCAAAAGUGCCUUGGAUCAUUUAGUGAUUGACUCACCAAAAAUCACUCCGAACGAUACGCGUUUAUUGAUUUCACAAGUAAUAUUGUCAUCCCAAAAGGCACGGUUACAUUGCCCGUAACUAUUGGUAGAGUACUCCAUCGUAUCAUUCAUAUGAUUGACUUCCUCAUUAUUGAUAGUCGGACUACCUAUAAUACUAUUCUUGGCAGGCCAUUUUUAACGAAAACUAAAGCAGCGGUAUCCCUAAAUCAUUUAGCUAUGAAAAUUCCAAUUGCCGCAUAUGUUGUCACCGUCAAAGGAGACCAGCAAGCAGCUAGGGUUUGCUAUAUUGUUGCCUCUAAAGAAAGCUAUUAGAUUGUUUCUGACACUCAGUUGAAGUCGUACCUCACUAGAGACAAAUUAUCUCCACAUAAGAUAUUAGGAGUAUCAGAUGACACCUAUCCGAAACCCAUAGAUGAGAUCGAAGUACCUUUGGAUCACCAAAUUCUCAAAGUGAAGAUGGGUACCCCAGCUUAGAAAAGUUGGUCUUUCAGCCUCGCUCGGCCAUUGAAGCUCAAGCUAUUAUCGAUUUCUUGACCGAAGUCGCCAAUGACUCCGGAGGUGAGGGAAUCCUAGGAUACCCGAGCUAGACUAAACCAGCAACAGAAGAAGAACAACUUUGGGGAAUCAGUAUUGAUGGCUCUCCCAACAUAUGGAAGUGGUGCGGGAGUAAUCAUCUUUGGCUCCAAAAGAGAAAAGUCGUACUACUAGUAAAGUGAUAACACUCCACCUCCUUUUGUUUAUUCUGUUUAUUUUCUUUAAUGUUUAUGUAUUUGAGAUAUUGAGUACCCUAAACUGGUCAAUUGCACUUUUUAAUUCCUUAAGUCUCUAAUGACAAUAACAAAUGAUCCUAGGAUUCCCUAUAUUCUUUUAAGGAUAACAAAAUACUGUCAUGUAAUGAUCCCCAAAGUACCCCAAACUGGUCAGUUGCACUUUUUAAUUCGCUCAGUCUCUAAUGACAAUAACAAGUGAUCCUGGGAUCCCCAAUAUUCUCCUAUGGAUAACAAAAUAGUGUUAUGUAAUGAUCCAUGUCUCCACUUUCUAUGAAUGUAUUUGCUUUAAAAAAUUUAAUGAUGUGUGCUCUUUUAUUUGUCUUUGAAUUAUUUGAUAUCGAUGAGUAGUUUGAAAUGCUAUAAGAAUAUGUCUGCCAUUAAACUAUCUCCAUAUAUAUCAUUGAGCAUUGUUUAUUAUGAUGUAAGAUAGUAUCCAGAGAUUGCCUUAUUCUGGGGUAAACUGGGGUACCUGACCUAUUUCGAUCAUGAUGAUCUACUCAACGUUAAACCCAACAAAAGGGCAGUUAGUAGUUGUCUUUAUCAUUAUUUGUUCACCAUAUUUGAUUCUGAUCGAAUGGCGAAUCAUGAGGUUUUCGACCAUCUUGCAUAAAGGUAGGCGGCCAACUGCCUGUAUCUCUAUUUAUGUCGUUUAUUUAAUUCUACGUGAAUGGAGGAUCAUGAGAUUUUUUACCAUCUCGCAUAAGGGUAGGCAAGUAGCCGCUUUUAUCACUAUUUGUCUCGCAUAUUUAAUUCAAAGUAAAUGAUGGAUCAUGAGGUUUUCGACCAUCUCGUAAAAGGAUUCGCUACAAUUUUUGUUAAGAUUUGCAGCAAGCAUGUCUAAGCAUAUCGUCAUACAAUGAUGAGAUAAGAUUAGGGGUACUCAGAGUACCCAUGCCAGAAAGUCAUUUCUCGAAUAUACCAAGAGGGGACCUUAAGAAGCCUCAAGGAGAGUAGAAAAUAAGUUCGCCUAUGUUGUUAUUCUAGUUAUGGAUUUACAUGCUUCAUUAAUUUGUUACGCCGAUACUUUGGUUAGUUGAUAAGUACUAAGAAUCACCAUAAUCUCCUAAAGAUUAACAACAAGCAUAUCUAGAUGAAUCACCAUAUUGAUGAUGAAAUUGGGUUGCUCCAUCAUGAAGUAAGAGAUAGCUCGAUGAGCAUCUAAGUUAAAGAGUACCCGAGAUACCUCAUGCGCCUGGUCAGAUUUCAUAAUGGAUUAAAGAAUCAACAUUCAAAGCUUUAUCAUAAAGUAAGAGAUAGCCCGGUGAGUAUGUAAGCUUAAAGGUACCUGAGGUACCCCAUAUGCCCAGUCAGAUUUCAAAAUGCAUCAAAGAAACAACAUCUAAAGCUAUUAAAAAAAAUACCAUUACAUGCAAUCACAAAACAAUUUGGGCACCACCAUAGAAAGAGGUAUAAUAGGAAGUCAAGAAAGUAGCUCCAAGUCAGAAUUCAGGAAAAGUGCCAACAAACAAGUAAUAACACCAAAUAAAGUUACAUAUUAGGUGCAUCAUCCUCACAUUCAUCCUUCUGAUGAGAGCUUUGGUUGGGGUAAGCGAAGUACACUGGAUGACCUUUGUGGACUACUAGACUAAGGUAUAUGGGAUUUCGUUUCUGCCUCGGUCACUACCAAGAUAGUCGAUUUAUCGACCCACUUUUCUUUCUUGGGUACCAACAACCUCAGCCCCACAGUUCAACCUUCAGUCAUUAUACAACCCUCAACUCCAAUGAUCUGUUGGCCACACAAGGCUUUUCCUCAGAUGGAUCAUUGAGGUACCCCUUUAAAGUUUUGUUCUACUGAUUAAGCUUCUCCUCGGAGGACUUGUGGCUUCAGAGUUCAAUUAUCAGUUUCUCCACCUUAGACUGAGCAUUGGAGCCUGGAGGCAGUAUUGAGGUCUUGGAAUCGGUGACUUCGAUAAAAAGUCACCUGCUGCUAGUAGGAAGUACCAUAGAAAAUGCAAGUAAAAGGUUGCUUACAGCACUUAGUUAGGCUCUGCAUAAGUUGGCACUAGCUCUUCUUUAGUAAAAUCCUCAGGCAGAGAGAAGAAGGAUCCCAAUUUUCUUUUGCGCCCGUCAGGGGUAACCUUGAAGUUACUCUUUUUUAGCCGAGCCAUCCACGCGAGAACUUUUACUAAGUGAGCGAGGAAGUAAUCUCUAAGCUUUUAUGAGGCCCAAUUCACCCUCAAAAAGCGAGAAGGCUGGAUGUUUUUUGAAGAAGGAGUGAUACCCGAGCUACUCAAAGAGCCAUCAUUCAUUUAGGUAGAAAAAAGGUAUCAAAGUCAUCUAAGGGAGGAUUUAAAUCUGCCAACUACUGCACAUAAAGAAAAAGGGUCAGUUAUAUGAAUAUUGGACUCCAUUAUUUUCCUUCUGUAAAGCCCCCUAAACUCUCUAAGUGAAAUAUCUGUUUCAAGUAAUUCCGACUAUAAUAACUAAAGGCCUGAUUGGAAGGAUAUGCGAAGUACCAGAUCAAUAUGAAGUGCUAUCUCAUCUGUCUUCGGGCAUUCUAGGGUUUCAUUCUUGUGGGGUACCCAGUGGUCAGCAAAAUAAAGAAUGUAGUACUUAAUCCUGAUAUGCUCUAGGCCUCACAAAGUAGCCCUCCUACCACCUAGAAAGCGAGAUUUGUUAGACCUAGAGAAGGAAAGUAAUGGAAUAGUUUUUGGACAUGUGAACUAAUAUGGUCAACCUAGAAAAGGGUAAGUGCCUUUUUCUUGCUCAACCAUCGGUGAAGGUGGGCCAAACAUUGCUACGUGUCGUUCAUAAUUCCUUAAAUAUUUUCACUAUAAAGAGAAUAGAGGGAUUUUUUUUAGAGAAUAAAUAGAAUAUUGAAAAUAAAGCACCACGUGUCGAUGAGAAGGUUUUGGUGACUGAAAGUUACGCUCAUAAGGUACCCAAUCCAUGCUAGGUAUAUUCUCCAGAUAAACAAAUACGCGGGAUACGCCAACCAUCGGUGAAGGUGGGCCAAACAUUGCCACGUGUCGUUCAUAAUUCUUUUACGAGUUUCUUUUGCCUUAAAUACUUUCGCCAUAAAGAGACUAGAGGGAUUUUUUUUGGAGAAUAAAUAGAAUAUUGAAAAUAAAGGCCCACGUGUCGACGAGAAGGUUUUGGUGACUGAAAGUUACGCUCAUAAGGUACCCAAUCCAUGCUAGGUAUAUUCUCCAGAUAAACAAAUACGCGGGAUACGCCAUGACAGAGUUAAGGAAUUGAAGGAAAUAUCCAAAAAUGACCAUUACACGUGAUGUCCCAAUAGAAUAUUUGAUUUGAUGAAAUUAAAUCAAGAAUAUUCUGUCAGAAAAAGGGAGACAACUGAUAACUCUAUGAAAUGAGAGUUAUCAUGGCACUUUUAGACUUAAAUUAAGAUUACUUAAAGAGUAAAUGAUGUGUUUUUAUUGCAUUUUAAGGAUGUUUUGCAUGAACCUCCACUUUAGUUCAUUAUUAGUUAAUUUCGUUUGAUUUAGAAUAAUUUGUGUGUUAGAUCAUUUGCAUGUUUAUAAGUGACCGGAAGCUCAAAUCUCAAUGAAGGAAUGUUGCUGCAAUAGGCUUGCAGAAUAUGGAAAAGAACUUGGCUACAAAAGAAUUGAAACAAGUCUGGAGCAGUGCAGAUGUUGCAGCCAUUGCUGUAGCAACCCUUGAACAACGAAAGAGAAGAUUUCGCGCGAGAUAUUUACUGGAUUGCGAUCUAGAGUUUCCUAAACUGGAAGAUGUACGCCCUAGACCUUCGGUUGCCUUAACUCUAAACUAUAAAAGGUGCACGCAUCACAAGAAAAAAGGAGGCCGUAAUCAAAUAGUACUAACCGAAAGAAAAACAAGAAAGAAAACGAAUUCGAGAAGAAGAAGCAAGCUUGCUCCAGUGACAAUUCAGUAGAAAAUAAUUAGGAGUCAACUUUUCUCAUUCUUGUUUUGUUACUUACUUGUUCUUUGAGCAUGAAGAUGUAUUCGAUGGUUAAGACGUUUGUGUUUAUCUUUCUUUCACAAGUUAUACACUAAGUUUAAUGGUAGUUGAGUGACAAAUAAUCUUAAUGGUUUCUUGACUGAUUAUAUAAGUUGCUGCAUGUUUGCUAUAGCAUUUUGUUUUGAUAGUAUUUAUUCAUAACCAUUAUUUCGACUAACCACCCAUUUAAUGAUACAAGUUAAGAAAGAGCAGCAAAGGGCCUCUCUUAAUGGAACAUAUUAGAGCAAUACUUGGUCUGAAAUUGAGUUUCCUGGAUUAAGUUAACUUGAGUCCAAAAAGGGUCGUGCCUGAUUUAAGAUUAGUGAUGAACUAGAUGUAGGAAUUCACCUUGUAGGGUAAAGAGAACCUAAACAUAUAAUGCUAUAUUUUAUGUUGACAUAGCAAUUGGUCAUUGUUAGGUUGCAUAAAGAUAUAAGACAUCCAACAUGCAUCCAACAUGCGACAACUGAGGAUGCAUAAGGUUUCUGUCCAUUGUUAUAGGAAAUGCUGCAGCAACUGAACUUAAUAGGAGAAGAACAGUAAACACUAUUAAGAGAAUUUUAUCACUCAACUACUCUAUUUUCGAGUGAAUUUAUUCUUGUGAUUGAAGUGAGAAGCAUAUUGAUUGAAUCUUUGUUAUUUGCAUUUUUUUAAUCCCUUAGUUCUAUUAAUUAUUUUAAUUUAGACUUUAGGUUGCACUGUUGAAAUUGCUGUAGCAAUUCGUAUAACAACAAUCCUUGUGGAGAUAUUCUUGAAUUCUCAUCAUUAUAUUAUUUGUUAUGUACACUUGCACAAUUGACACCAAUAGUUAUUGAACUAAAAAAAAUAUACAACAACAACCGACUGCAAUAUCAGCAAAAAACCAAAAACAGCGCAUAAAGAACAGUGGUCCUUCAUUGUCACGCAUGAUAUUGUAUAGACAACCUCUGCAAUCACUUGUAGUGCACGCCACGUACACUAAACGACAAUGCCCAUAAAAAAAACCGCAUUACUGCUCUCCAAGCAUGUUCCUAAUGGCUCAAAAACAACCAUAAUGGUAAAAGGACGUAAAAAUUUCAAAAAGGACAAAAAAAUCACCACUAAAAAUAUGCCACGUGGCAAGGUACCCAGGCUGUACUAUAUAAAGGGAAAAAGGUUAUAUCUCUCUCAUACUCUUACACACUCAUCUUCUCUAAUACUCAUUACAAAUACACACAAAAAUGGGACUGAGGUCUUCUUCAAUCUCCAGCCACCAUUUUCAGAGAGCUUGCAAGCUCUCAUCACCUAAAAAAAAGUUCAAGUAGCUAACUUGAGCGUUGGCGUGUGGUCGCCGGCCACCGUGGCUCCACCUCUAACCUCCUUUUCUUAUUUUUCAGGUCUAAAUGCACCAUUUAAAGGGUCCUACAUUCCACAUCUGACCUCUCACUAUUUCAGCCCUCUUCCACUCUUUUUUGUCUCUUUUAAAGUCUAAAAUAUCCCCUACACCAAAGUUAAGUGAGGUACCCUAAUCCCCAAAAAAUAUAAAUUCAUUGUUUUUGUGAGAUUUUUAUUCAUAUCCCUUACAACCCAAAAUCCACUUAAAACAAUAUAUAUUGCACGAAUUCACGUUCAUAAAACAGUGAACAAAAAAAAAAAAUUCAUAUCCUUUCGCUCAACUACUUGUUUGGGAAUCGUCCUUAAUUAUCAUGUUUUUUGAAACGAAAUUUUUAGUAAGGAGCUUAGAUUUUUCAUACAUGAGAAAUUCUGAGGUAAAUCCCUUUUUUUAAUAUCUAAGACUUAAUAACGCUUUAUUUUUUCACAUAUUGCCCCCCCCCCCCCAAAAGAGUUACAUAUAAUUAGGGGAACAUAAUGAGACAUUUACAAGAAUUAUAACACAAGCGAUAAUGAAAAAACAAAAAAGCAAUGUGUCAGAAAAUAGAUAAGCAAAAGCACAAUUAUAAAACGAACUAAAUUCAUACUUGGGGAGUCCAUUAGCAUCUUAAUUGAAAGAGGAACUCUCAAAUUUCAGACUGAAGAAUAUGUUGGCCCUAGAAUUAAGGUUGAGUAGUUGUAACUUAAAAGUUAUAGCAUUGAAAUAUUUAAUAAACACUAGUUGCUGUAACUUGGAAGUUAUAUUGAUACGAUUAUUUUUUACUUGCAUGAUGAAAAAUCUACUAUAUUUUUAAUAAUUUUAUCAACAUUAUUAUUUAAAAAUUAUAUUCACAAUGUGUCAUUAACUUUUAUUUUAUAGUUACAGCUUUUUGCUACAGCAACUAUAACAUAAAAGUUAUAACAUCUCAAUCCCAAAAAAGACCAUCAUCACUUAUCAGGUAAAAUUAUCACACAGUAAACCUAAGUUGGACAAUCAAUAUAUGACAAUAACAAUUUUUCUUUGUAUAUGCGAAAAUAAAAUAAUCAUUUGAGAAAGUAAAUUCAUACAAUUCACCCAACAAUUUUGAGGCAUCCAACAGGAGGAUUUUAAAAGAGAUUUCUGUAUUGACUUUUGUUUCGAUUGGAAAAAAUAAAUUGAUAUUCUCUUAAACAUUUUGAGGGUUUAUUAGAUAAAAUAAUUUUUUUCUUUCCAUUCACGUGCUAAAGAUUGUUGAUUGGUCCCUCACCUUCUAUCAAAAUUUUAAGAGCAUUCAUUAUUGUCAAAAUAAAAAAAGUAACUUUUACCUAAAUAUAAUUAAUGACAGAGGAGUCUUAGGUUAAUUUUCAAAAUAAAAAGAUUAAACAGGCAUUAAAACUAAAAUAAUAAAAACCAAAUAAGCAUUUAUCCUCCUACUUAAAUGGUAUUAUUUUACCUUUAAAAAGGUUAGUUUUCGACUACUACAGUGACAAUAAUCUUCUGAAUAAUUAUAGAAUAAUGUAGAAUGUUAUUGUAGGACUUUUGGAUUUAUUAUUUUAGGUCUUUUGGUAUUUUCUAUUUUUUAUUGGAGUCAGUUAAGCAUGUGUUUUAGUCUUUUAUUUUUAUCAUAAUUGUAAUUUAGUUUCACUUUUUAAGUUAAUUUAAAAAAGUAGGUUUCUUAUAUUAUAAAUAGAGAAAUCUUGUUAUUAUUAUCGUAUCUUCUACCUUUUGAUUAAUAGUAAAACCUCUCUUUUAUAACUUACUUUGUCAUCAUCUAUCAAAAUUUCUAUUGUAGAGUCGUUUAGAGUAGAGCGCCAUCUAAUCUCACUUAGCACAUUAUUAAAAUCUCCUUAAGUUGUUUAGAUUAGAACGAGAUAUAAUUAUACUUCGAUUAGAGCAUAACCUAAUCGCAUCGACUUGAUUCAGUACUAUAAUGGUAUAUAGUGUUUUUCUACCUUAUCAUUUCGCUUCCACUAUCCUGCCCCCUCACAGAGAAAGUGAACGAUCGAGAAGGAAAGAAAAAGCCUAUUAACUUCUAUUUUAAUAUGGCGUCAAAUUUUGCUUGAAGUCUUAACUUCUCUUGGGCUUAGGGCUUAGGAAAAAGCCUAUUAACUUUAUGUAUCGAGUUGGACUAUUGACAUCCCCUAUAAAUCUCCUUAAACCCCUUUCGUCGUGUAUUCACCCACACUUUUAACCUUAUUUAUAAUUAUAUUUAAAAUCAAAUCUCUUUAGUCUUUGCAUCCCAUGUAAUUAUAAAUCAUGACUAGACAGUUCAUCUCUCCGAUAUUUCUUUAACCCCACUUUCACUCGUUAGCGAUUGGUUGAAAUAAAAUUUCGAAGAGUCUUCGGCGAAUAUUUACCUGCAAAGUCUGAGAAAGGAACUUUCAGAUUUCACUAAGAAGAUGUCAUCAGGUAAAAUUAUCACACGGUUAACCUAAGUUGGCCAAACAAUUUAUGACAAUCUUCUUUUCUCUUUUUGUGUGACAAAAUAGAAUACUCUUUUGAGAAAGUAAAAAAUCACGAUUUAACCAACAAUUCUGAUGCAUCCAAAGUGGAGGAUUAUCAUGAAGAAGGAUAUGUAUAACCAACAACGCUGAACUGCUUUCUAACCAUAAAUUAUGCCAACCAAGUUUUUUAACCUUUCUAACAAUAAAUACUAUGAUAGAAAAUAAAAAAAAAUAAAAAAUAUCUUAAAAUGAAUAUAGAAGUUUUAGUUAAAUCAAUUUAAUAAAAUUUAUUCUAAUUAUUUUCAAUUCAAAAUUUUCAUUUUCAAUUGAUAAGUGAUUUUUUCUUUACUUCAUUAAAUUAAAUGAAUAAACUAUUUUUGUUUUAAUUAAAGAGUAAUAUUGAUUUACAAGUAUUAUGUUAUUUUGCAAUUUAAAAACACUAGUUUAUCACUCUAUUUCAUUUAAUUGUCUUACGUGUAACUUAAUCAAAAUUUAUAUUUAUCACGACAUUUGUUAAGUAUAGCUGAAGCUGCUGCUGUAGCUGCUGAGCUGGAUUGGGUUGUUGUUCACACUAACUAAGCUGUAACGGAUUAUCCAGCUGGCUUGAUGUGAUUGGAAGUCUAAUUAGUUUGUUAAUAUAGCAACGUUGAGCUCUGUUUUGGUUGUUAGUUUUGAGUGUAAUUAUAAAUACUGGCUAACACGUUUUCAGUGUUAAGCUUUAGUUUUAAUCAAUAAGAAUCUACUCUGAUAAAGUUUCUUUGUUAAUUUUCUUUCACUUUCUUACUUGCCAAACAUCCUAUUAAUUCUAAUAUGGUAUCAGAGCCUGCACCCAUGUCAGAAUCUAAUCAUAUAGCUUCCUCAUCACUUUCAUUCAACUUUGUUCAACCUAUAAAACUUGAUAGAUCAAAUUAUUUGGUGUGGAAAGCUCAAGUUAGAACGUCGAUCAUUGCUAAUGGACUUGAAAGCUUCAUCAAUGGUGAGAAUGUAUGUCCAGAACGUUAUCUCACUGAAUCUACUCAAGAACUUCGAAGAUCUGGAGCUGAAGCAUCACAGAAACAGGAAAAUCCAGACUAUAUCUUAUGGAUGAAAACUGACAAACUUCUGCAAAGCUAGAUGUUUUCAUCAAUGGUGGACAAUGUAUUAAUCAUGGUGAUCAACUGUGAAACAUCACUUGAGCUUUGGGAGAUGCUUGCUGGAAUCUUCAUGUCACAAUCCAAAGCGAGAUAUCUGCCUUUGAAGAUGCAGAUUCAAUCAACAAAGAAAUGAUCACUCUCAAUUAGUGAUUACUUCAACAAGAUGAAGAAGAUUGCUGAUAGCUUGGCCAUUGGAGGUAAUCCAAUUACUUCGAAUGAAUUGAUUAUGCACUUGCUUACUGGAUUGGAUGAAAACUAUGAAUCCUUAGUCACAAAUAUACUUACUAGAUUCGAAAAAGAGAAACUUACAGCUGAAGAGGUGUAUUCUAUGAUGCUUAGUCAUGAAACUAGGUUGGAAAUGAGCAAAGAAAAAUCACAUAAUGAACCUCUGCAUGAUAUGACAACAAAUUUUACUCAGAAAGGCCAAGGUUAUAAUAGAUAUGGAUAUAAUCAGAAAAAUGUAGGUGCUGGAAAUUUUGGUGUUUAUGAUAACAAUCAGAACAUGAGUACUGGUCCUGGAAAAGAUGUUGUGUGUCAAAUCUAUUACAUUCCAGGCCAUGGAGCUUAUAAGUGUAAACACAGAUUCAAUCAGGGGUUUAUUCCUAGAAAUAAAGGUUUUGGUGGUUUCAGGCUAAGAACUGGAGGUCAGAAUUAUAGAGGAUUCCCUGGAAAUAAUCAGAAUUAUUUUGGUAGAGGUUCUGGAUACAAUAGUUCUGGUUUUGGAUCUGGAUUCAGACCCAACUUUCCUAGGCAAGCUGGACCUACUGGACCUUUCUUUGGUUAUGUUGCCUAUCAGAAUCCAGGAUUCAUGAAUUCUCAAGGUGCCUUUGAUUUUCCAAGUGCAAAUGGUGACUAUAAUGGUGUUCCAACAGCAAACAUGUAUGCUGGAAAUUAUGGCAUUCCUCAUAAUGUUCCUCCUUUUGCACAAUUGGCAAACUAUAGCAGUGUAGCUGAUCCAGCCUGGUACCUUGACUCUGGAGCAACAAAUCACAUUGCUCAAGAUGCAGGUAUACUUUCUAAGUACUCAACUUACCAUGGCCUUGAAAAACUACAUGUAGGAAAUGGUAUGGGGCUGCCUAUUCAUAAUGUUGGAUUUGUUACUGUUAAAACCUUGACUACAACACCUAUUUACCUAAAUCAUAUUCUGCAUGUCCUUACAAUUACUAAAAACCUUAUCAGUAUUUCCAAAUUGCUUGCUGAUAACAAUGUGUUUAUUGAGUUUUACAACCAUAUUUGUUUUGUUAAGGAUAAGAAUUCAAGAAUCACAUUGCUCAAGGGGAUUGCUAGAGGAGGUCUUUAUCAAGUUUCAAGCUUAAAUGCAGUCUGUGAUAACUCCAGUUCUAUGUUUCCAGUGUCAACCUCAUCUGAGUCUGUUUUUAAUUCAAUAAGUACAUUGCCAGCAGCUCCAGUGUCUAUGUUUACUCAACUGAGUUCAUUUGAUACUAAGUUUCAUCCUUGUAUGCUUGUAAAUAAUCCUCAAAUCAAUAAGAAUGUCCCUAUGGCUCAUUUUGCUUCAUAUAAUAAGCCUAUUGAUUAUAGUUUACUGCACAAAAGAAUGGGUCAUCCAACUACUCAUGCUUUAAAACAGAUCAUGAAAUGCCUGCACUCAAAUUUUAUUCUUCCCAAAGAUUUAAAAUCACAGUUCUGUGAUGUCUGUCAACUAGGCAAGAGUCAUAUGCAGCAUUUUCCCUCCAUAGAAACCUCAACCACUCUGCCCCUUGAAUUACUACAUGCUGACCUUUGGGGACCAGCUCCCAUUACUUCUUCACAAGGUUACACCUACUAUCUAUCCAUCCUAGAUGACUACACCCGAUACACUUGGAUUUUUCCUCUCACUGCAAAGUCCAAAACCUUGUCAACCUUUAUUGAAUUCAAAAACAUGAUUGAAAACUGCCUGAACUUGAAAAUUAAAUGUUUACAAACUUAUUGGGGUGGUGAAUUCAGGCCUUUUGUGUCCUAUCUUUCUGACCAAGGUAUACAAUUUACACAUCCAUGUCCUUAUAUCCACCAUUAAAAUGGAAGAAUAGAGAGAAAACAUAGACAUAUUGUUGAAACAGGUCUUACACUUCUUGCUCAAGCUCACUUGCCACUCAAAUUCUGGUGGAAUGCAUUCCAUACAGCCACAUAUCUUAUUAAUAGACUUCCUACACCUGUUCUCAACAAUCAAUCACCAUUUGAGAAACUUUUUCAUAAAUCACCAGAUUAUAAAUUCAUGAAAGUCUUUGGUUGCUCUUACUACCCUUAUCUUAGACCUUACAAUCAUCAUAAACUCCAGUUUAGAAGUGGAAAAUGAGUCUUUCUUGGCUAUAGCUCCCUUCACAAAGGCUAUAGUGUCUUCAUCCUUCUGGCAUGGUGUAUAUCAGUAAUCAUGUCAUUUUUUAUGAGUCAUCUUUUCCCUUCAAGUUAGCUGACAAUUUUUCCACAAAAUUAAAUUCUAAUUCUUUACAAGAGUCUAUUUCUUCAAAUCCUUUUGUCUCUUUCACCUUAUCACAGACUGCUGCACAACUUGAUAGAUCAUUCUCUCAAUCUGCACCUUCAGCAACUGAUUUGCCUUCCAACUCAAAUUUAUCCAGCCCUGAAAAUCACCCUUUGUCUCAUACUCCUAGUCCUACACAUCAGCAUUCACCUUCUCAACCUCUUCAUCACCUAUCUCCAUCUUCUCAAUCCACUGAUGGACAUCCUAUGAUUACUCGAUCCAAAAUGGGGAUAUUCAAACAAAAAAGGCCUAUCUAGUUGAAUGUGAUCCUAAACCAACAGAACCACUCACAGUUUCAGCUGCCCUCAAUGAUCCAAAGUGGCUUCAAGCAAUGAGAGAAGAAUAUCAAGCCUUAGUUAAUAAUCAAACCUGGACACUUGUUCAGCCUAUAUAUCCUGUCAAAGUUGUAGGAAACAAGUGGGUGUUCAGAAUUAAACACAAUGCAGAUGGUAGUAUUUCAAGGUACAAAGCCAGAUUUGUAGUAAAGGGUUUCCAUCAAACUCAAGGCAUUGAUUAUAAUGAAACCUUUAGUCCAGUGGUGAAGGCUUCUACAGUUAAACUUGUCCUGAGCUUGGUUGUUCUUAAUCACUAAUCACUGAGACAAGUUGACAUUAAUAAUGCUUUUCUUAAUGGAUAUCUUACUGAAGAAGUAUAUAUGUAGCAACCCAAAGGCUUUGUGGAUUAAUCCAAACCUGCACACAUCUGUAAACUUCGAAAGGCAUUAUAUGGUCUUAAAUAAGCUCCUAGAGCUUGGUUUGAUAGAUUAAAAACAGUGUUAACUCAACAAUAGGGCUUCAAGAAUUCCAAGUCUGAUAAUUCUCUAUUUUCUCAGAGGGUUCAAGGUCAUUUGUUGCUGGUAUUAGUCUAUGUAGAUGAUAUUAUUGUAACAGGUUCAGACUCUGCACAAAUUCAGCAAGUUUUUACUAAUCAACAGACUACAUUUGCUCUAAAAGACCUUGGAGAACUGCAUUUUUUUCUUGGUAUUCAAGUCACCAAAACUGAUACAGGCUUGUAUCUCUCUCAGUCAAAGUAUAUAGCUGAUCUACUUAACAAGGUUAAGAUGAAAGGUUGUACUCCCUGCUCAACUCCAAUGGCUGCAAAUGUUCCAUUUACCAAAACUGACAGUGAACCUUUUCCUGAUGCAACUUUGUAUAGAAGCACAAUUGGAGCUCUUCAGUAUGCUACCCUGACCAGACCUGAGAUAACAUUUCCAGUUAAUAAACUCAACCAAUUUGUAGCUGCCCCAACCAUUAAUCAUUGGCAAGCAUGCAAAAGGAUUCUUAGAUAUCUAAAGGGUACAAUGCAUAUGGGGUUACAGUAUUCUCAUCAAGGUCCCUUGAACAUAGACUGUUUCAGUGAUGCAGACUGGGCAGCUGACAGGGAUGACAGAAAAUCAAUUGCUGGGUACUGUGUUUACUUUGGCCCCAAUCUGAUUUCUUGGUGUUCAAAGAAACAAGGAGUAGUGUCCAGGUCCAGCACUGAGUCAAAAUAUCGAGCUCUAGCAAUGGCUGAAUAUGAAGUUUUGUGGCUUAAGUCCUUGUUGACUGAAAUUGGUAUUUCUCGUCUCUACUCCUGUCAUUUGGUGUGAUAACCAAAGUGCAGCUGCUUUAGCAAGUAAUCCUAAAUUCCACUCCCGAACUAAACACAUUGAGCUUGAUGUUCAUUUCUUGCGAGAAAAGAUUGCUAAUCAAAGCUUCCAAGUUAGCUAUGUUCCUAGUUCUCAUAACUCAGCUGAUAUCCUUACUAAAGCUUUAGCUUAUCAUCCUUUUCAUUAUCUGAAAGACAAGCUCACCCUCACUUCACCAGGCUGAGCUUGAGGGGGGAUGUUAAGUAUAGCUGAAGCUGCUGCUGAGCUGGCUGGUUGGUGACAUGUAUAAGCUGAAGCUGCUGAGCUGGAUUGGGUUGUUGUUCACACUAACUAAGCUGUAACGGAUUAUCCAGCUAGCUGGAUGUGAUUGGAAGUCUAAUUAGUUUGUUAAUAUAGCAAACGUUGAGCUCUAUUUUGGUUGUUAGUUUUGAGUGUAACUAUAAAUACUGGCUAACACGUUUUCAGUGUUAAGCUUUAGUUUUAAUCAAUAAGAAUCUACUAUGAUAAAGUUUCUUUUUUAAUUUUCUUUCACUUUCUUACUUGCCAAACAUCCUAUUAAUUCUAAUAACAUUGAUGUUGUAAUUUUAAUCAUGGUAUUAUAGAAUUUUCUAUAUCCAAAACAUUUGUCCUUUGUGCCCUUUAAUCAGUUAAUUGUUCAAAUUUAUUUUUCUUUUGAAAUUAUUAAAAAAAAUUAAUAAUUUUUUAUAAUUAUAUUUUAAAGUGGGAUGCAUUUAAUUUAAAGGUGAAAAUGUCACUACCUAUUUUUUGUAAUGUACUUUUUAUUUAAUUAGAAACUAUUGUUCUUGUGUUUAGAGUGUGUAUCGUUACUAUCUAUGGAGAAUAUCCAUUUUAAAAUUCAGUAACCAUUCUUUCAAUUCAUUAUCUCCUUGGCUGUAUCAUUACUCCUCGUAUAACAAUAAAUAUGCAAAUAUUGAUAAGUAGAUAUAUAAGAUAAUGAAAUAAUAAAAUCAAUUGAAUAAUAAUUUUUGACAAUUUUAUGGCCAAUGUGCUAAUUUAGUAAUUUAAUAGAUUAAUAACAUCAUAUAUUAUAAAAAAAUCUUAUUUUUUUUAUAGGACUUAAUUCCCAUAUAAAUUAAUAAUUAACUGACUUGCAGCUAAAUUAAUCUGAUAUGUACGUAGGCAGCUUUUGUGAAAUGUGGUUUUACUGUUGUCUUUCCUUGAAAUUGUUGUAGACUUGAUUCCAUGUCCAAUUUCACUAGCGUUUUAAAUACAUCUGUGCGAGAUAGGCUCAAUAGCAGAAAGAACUACCAAAUAUCUAAUCUCUUAUUUUCAUUAAUAAAUAACUAAAUAAACAUGAGACUCUAGUAUAGUUGAAGUGGCUAAAUAAGCGGCGAGCAUCUUAUGCUUAGUUCGUAUAUAUAAGUACUGGUGGAUUAGUAGUAGCAAAUGCAAGCAGCUCUUGGUCACGUUCAAAGAAGGCUAUGUCUUUGGGGCUCAGGGUCACCAAUGCAAUCAUUUGUGUCCAUUAUAAUAAUCAAGCUUGACAGCUCAUAAUUUGGAAAAGUCAGGUGCACUGGCUUUCCCCAUCCAAAAUCUGCUACUUCAUAAUAUGGGAAGUUAACAAUGCGGGAUAAAGUGUAGAAAUCUAUCUCGUCUUUUUCAAAUUUGUCUUUUAUUGACUGCGGAGUAUCGAAUAUGCUCUUGUUUUCUAGCAAAGUUUUGAGACCGUUUCGUCUAAAUUCUGCCUUUGCUUUCCUUAGCGAACAAACCAAGUCCAGUAAUGUUUCAAUUUCCUUUUCACUCGCUUGCGCCGUCAGAUACGCGGGAGAGUUGCCCACAGAGUCGUCAGGCAAGGGCAGCUCUGGCGCCGUACGCACGUUCAUCGCGUGUACCGACAAAGAAGGUCUUGAAUACCCAAGGUUUGAUCUUGACGCCGCCCUUGCACACUUCCCAAUUAGUGCGGUUGUCUAGGCACGCUUGGACUAGCAACUUUAGCCUUGAAUUCAUCAAUUUUCUUUGCAUCAAAUACAAACCAGUUGGCUUUAACCGGUGAAAUAUGUAAAGGAAUGGGCAGGAAGGAUUCACUUGCUGUAAAAAUCGUCGAAGCAACAAAUCUAGGAAUCACUUAUUAUUGCUCCGGUUCGAUGACUGAUUAUCUGCACAAGCUGUGGUGGUCCAGCUGUUAACCAAUAUGCCUAACGAGACUGAAAAUCCCGUAAUAAAUUCUGAUCAGGCUUUCGUAGGUAUUCAAACAAAAAGCCGAUCGCAAGAGCUUCAACACACUCAGCCCCUUCGUCCUUGCAUUCAAUUGAGAAAUCGUCUUUGACUCUCCCAGCAAAUGGGUAGAAUUUUGUGAGAGUUUUUGGUAGGAAUGACUUGAGACGUUAUUGCGAAAUUUGGUCAGCUUUCACAUUAUCGUCUGCUUUGUGCAGAAAAAUGGUGCUCACGGAUAUGGGAAAAUUGAUUUGGUCUAUGAGGGAGAGUCUAAAAUUUCUCAGGUGUGGAGGAGUUUGGUAAGCUGGUUUGAUGGUUUCCCUUGCCAGUACUUGCACUUCCAGUGCGUGUCCAUUUUGGGCAACCAUAAAUAGAAUUCUUGUCAGUAGUCCCUGUCCAAUAUUAAAACGUCAAAAGUUAUGUACAUAUACACAUACGACGAUAACCACGAAAAAUUCUAUCACUAGUAUUGAUUGCUUACUUGCAAAUCAAUGCCUGCCUUGUUGCUCUAGAUGGAAGCUCCUUGCUAACUAGCGCAAACCCUUAUAUAAUAAAAUUUGAUAGCCAAAUUUGGCUCCAUUAGUUUGAAUCCCUGGUUUAUCCGUGCAUCAACAGUUCAAUGGGAACUUGCACACUAUAAUCACAUGCAUUGCAUUUUAUAUUUUAUGACUACGAAUCCUCACGAUUGAAAGAGACAUUUAUCUGCACAUUUGUUGGAGUUUUAUUGGUAUUUCAAAAUACUAAUAUCCCACAUUAAAGGGAAGUGAGAGCAAUCACUUUUAUAUUUGAUUUGAAAUUAGUUAUAUAUUUGAUUUAAUUACAAAUUAGAGUUAAGUCAAAUCUAGAUGUGAUUUGGAUUAUUUAAUUUGAAUUUGUUAAGGCAGCACAUUGUUAAGAGUAUACAGAGGCAAAGAGAAGAAAGCUUAAAUUGAAACUGAAACCAAUCAGCAAUGCCAAAACAACAAAGAUCGUUAAAGAGAGUGACAGCUUCAGCAUAAGUUGUUCAGAUUGUUGUUAACACACAAUGUAUGGUAACCAAAUUGUAGCAAGCUUAGUGAUUAACAAAUAUAGAUUAAUUACAAAUUGUUAUAGUUGAUAAUGUGUAUAAAUAUGAUGAUGUACCCAUUUAGUUGUGAAUGAAAGUUCCAGACUGAAGAAAUACAUUUUCUUUGAGAUUUUCUCUCAAACCAAUCACUCUUUCUUAAUCUCUUUCAUGCUGCUAGAGCCAUAAUGGCCAGGUCAAGCACUACAAUUGUAAAUCAGCCAAUCACCCUUCAAAAACAAUUUUUACAAACAUCAUUCACUUUUGCUACUACUGUGAAGCUUGAUCGGUCUAACUACUUGCUUUGGCACAAACAGGUUUUAAGUUCAGUUAUAGGGAGUCAGCUUGAAGGAUUCAUCUCAGAAACUCUAAUCAUUUCAGAUCAGUACCUCUCUAACUCAACAAUUGAUGGAUCUAUUGAAAAGGUUAAAUAUUAAUUCAGCUUGUCAAUUGGUGAGCACAAGAUCAGACUCUUCUUGGUUGAUAAUAUUAUCCACGAUCAAUGAAGGUACGUUGACUGUCCGUAGUUAUGAUAUACUUCUUUUGAUUUCUAAAGAUCUAUUGAAAAAUAAUUUGGAGUUCAACCUGAGGCUAAGGUGAUGGAACUUCAAUAUGAAACAAACAUUUUAAGAAAGGAAUCAAUGUCUACUAAAGAAUAUUAUGUAAAGAUGAAACCCUUGUUAGUAGACUUGCCUAUGUUUAUGACAAUAUAAUUGACAAAGAUCUGUUGAUGAGAAUUUCGAAUGGCUUAGGGCCUAGUUAUUUGGAUCUGAUUUCAAUUAUUACUGCUAACAAAAUGAACUAUGAUGAUGCAUAUGCUUUAUUAUUGACACGCGAAACUAGAUUUGAACAAAAUCAGAAUGCUAAGGCCAUGUUCAAUGCUAAUUAUAGCAUGAUAAAUGCCAAUCACUCAUAUAUGAGAAAGACUCUUAGAAGAGGUCCAUAUGGUGGUGGUACUGGCAUGCUCUUUUCUACUUAUACUAUAGGUUUUCCAGCUAGUAGUAGUAAUUUUGGUGUAUAUUACAGAGGUCAAGCUAUGCAAAUUUAUAAGUGAAACACUUUUCAUCCUCCUACUAUAAUUCCUGCCAUACAUUCUGGUGACUCUGAUGAAUCAGUUCAUAUUUGUCAGAUAUACCAUAAGUAAGGGCAUACUACCGAUACUUGUUGGCAUAAGUAUAGUGAUUCUUAUCUGGUCUCCACCAAAACAUUUUGGUAGAGGAAAGAUGAUAGGGUCAAGAACUACUUAUAUGGCUAGCUUUGAGCCAUACUAUGACUAUGCACCAUCCUUUGAAGAGCAUUAUGCCAUUCCUUACUCAAACUAUCAGCUAGAGAUGGCCAAUAGGUCGGGCGGCAUGUAGCAUUCCACGAGCACAGCAUGUGUCCAUACAUCAUGGCAUGGUACGAACACAUUUUGGUAGGGCAUGCGACAUUGCAUGGCAUGCACGAAGGCUAGAUUAGGCUGAGAAUUUUAGGCAUGUGACCCUUAAAAGCACAACAUGAUUAGAGAUGAAGUAUUUCAUGACAUGUGAAUAAGGUCGGUAAUAAGUAAGUUUCACUUUUUAAUCAAAGCUAACAUAAGUUUUUUAAAUUCACUUAAUUCUUAGUUUAAAAAAAUGAUCUGGUUGUUUUAUUUUUAUAAUUUAUUAAAUGAAUAAAUGAUACCAUGAUUUUAAUAAACAAAAUUAUAAAUAUUAUGAUUUUAUAAAACUUAUGUAUUACCGUUAUUAUGUACUGUGAUCUAUGACUUUAUGUUAGUUUAAGUUAAUAAUUAAAUUAACCCUUUAAAAAAAUUUCUUAUUAUUGUUGUUGUUGUUAUUAUGUUUCAAAAAAGAAUUCCAAUACCAUAGAGUCUAACUUAGUAGUUAAUAUUACAUUCUCUUACUAUUAUUAGUUUAUUAUUAUUAAAUAUGGACUUAACUUUUCAACUUUUAAUUCUACUGAAUUUGAUUAUAGGCAUGCAUACCCAAAAAAUGUACGCCAACAGUUUGGCAUGCCCACUUAAAAAAAUUAAAAAAAGAAAAAUGCUUGUCAUGUUUUUUUUUUCUUAGGCACAGCACGACAUGUGCGGGCACAUGACGUGUGUCAGGUUUAGCCUAAGCUAAAAGAAUUAGGCACGACAGGAAGCAUAUCUUGAGCACAAAACAGCACAAUCACAAGCAUGCAUGGGUCUUCCUUUGUUGGUAGGCACGGUUUGUUGGCCAUCGCUACUAUCAAUCAAUGCACUUAUGCCUAAAGCCUUUGUUGCAAAUUUUGAAAGAUUUGUUGAUGAAGGAUGGUACCUUAAUAGUGGUACUACACAUCACUUAACUAACAAUAUGACCAAUAUGCAUGUCCAGGGAGACUUCAAUGGCUUAGACCAGCUUAUCAUUGGCAAUGGACAAGUUUUGCCUAUAACUCAUAUCAAUGAUGCUUGCUUUAACAACAAAGGUUCAAAUGUUGCAUAUAACCACAAACAUAUAGCACUUAAAGAGAUUCUAUCAGUGCUUUACUACAAAUAAUCUGUUAAGCAUAUCGAAUUUAACAACCGAUAAUAACCUCUUUAUUGAACUUGUUGGCAAUGUCUAUUACGUGAAAGAUUCUCUGACAGGGCAAGCACUUCUGCAGGGCCUCGCUUAGAAAGGAUUGUAUAAGCUGCUCUUAAUGUCGCUUCAGUUUUUCAAGUCCUCGCCCUUAUCUUUCUUAGGUCAAACAACUUUCAAUAAACCUUUGUCUAUGUUGUCCCCACAUGACCUUAAUUAUCAUGAAAAAAUAAUGAUUCAAGUUCUAAAAUUUGUUAUCAACCUGCUGUUUUCUUUGUAAUGCAUUAGUCAAUAAAAUUACUCUUUUUCAUAGACGUUUUGGUCAUCCUCAUCAUCAGAUAUUAUUGCAUUUACUUAAGAAAUAUAAAUCUAUUAAUCUCUCAAGUAAUUCAACAAAGUAGGCACUUUAACAUGUUUAUGAAACAUGUCAGAUGGGUAAAGUUCAUGGGUUACACUUUUCUGUUAUAGAAAUCAAAACUUCUAAGGUUCUUGAACUCAUUUAUAUAGAUUUGUGGGGUCCUUCACUUGUUUUUUAUAGAGAUGGCUAUACCUAGAUAUAACCUUUGUUAAUGAUUUUAAUAGAUACAUUUAGACCUAUCCUUUAAAACUAAAAUCAAAGGUUUUAGAGGUCUUCAACUUGUUCAAAUUCUAGGUUGAGAAUCCAUUCAACAGUACCAUCAAAAUACUACAAUCUGACUAAGGGGUAGAAUAUAGAUCAUUUACUCAAUUUUUAAACCAACCCGGAGCUACUUUUAGACACUCUUGUCCUUAUACACAUCACCAAAAUAGGUUAGUUGAAAAGAAACACAAGCACAUUUUUAAACUAGGUCUCACCUUGUUAGCUCAAUCUAAGUUAUCCUUUAAAGUUUGGUGGGAUGCCUUCCAUACAAUAGUUUAUCAUAUCAAUAGGUUACCAUCUGUAGUUCUAGAAUUUCUUACACAAUAUGAAAAGGUAUUCAACUAUAAACCUGAUUAUGAUAUCCUAAAAUGUUUUGGUUGCACUUGUUUUCUUUACUUAAGAGAUUGUAAUAUGUAUAAGUUUGAUUAUCAUUCUAGUAAAUUUAUUUUCAUUGGCUAUCGUCUUUCCCAUAAAAUAUGCAAGUGUCUACAUUCUUCAAGACAAUAUAUAUAGUCAGACAUGUCAUCUUUGAUGAAUCCUCAUUUCCUUGCUCUAUAGACUCUGUCUUUACUUCAAAAGAGCCUAAUCCUUGUUCAAAUGAGUCCUUCACUCCUCAACAAGUCUAUCAUCCAUCCACAUUCCCUCCACUUCCAAUCUCUAUUGAUAACAGCUCAAGUAAUCCUAACUUUGUAAGUUCUACAAGCAGCAAUCUUCAUCACUCAAAAAAUCCUACUCAAGAUAAUAUUUCCUACUCAUCACCAUAAACAAUUGUACUAUACAUUACAAUAUCUUUCAAUAUGAUUUACCACAAAAUAAGUCUGAUUCUCAUACAACUAUCUCAUCAAAUAUAUCAUAAUCCACUACUCAACCAAAUAAUCAUCAUAGGACUAUCAGAAGUAAAGGUGGUAUUUUUAAACCUAAGUUGUGUGCUACAUUACUUGUUCAUAAAGAACUAGAUUCUGUGUAUGAAGCCUUGCAAGAUCCUAGAUGGUUUGAAGCUAUGAAUGAGGAAUCUAAUGCCUUAAUCAAGAAUGGUAUAUGGUCUUUAAUCAUAAGAACUUCUUAUCAUAAAUAAUUGUUAAUAAAUGGAUGUAUAGAGUAAAGUAUAAUACUGAUGAGAGUCUAGCUAAAUAAAUAGCUAGGUUAGUAGCUAAGGAUUUCAGCAAAUUGCUGGGGAUAAUUAUUUUGAAAUAUUCAACCUUGUGGUAAAACCCACUACUCUUCGAGUGAUAUUAAGUUUAGCAGCUAUGAAUCAGUGGAAAAUAAUGCAAAUUGAUGUGAACAAUGUUUUCUUAAUGCAGAUUUGACAGAGGAAGUCUUCAUAAAUUAACUAGAAGGCUUUAUUGAUCGUAAAACUAGAAUUUUUGUGUAAACUUUAUAAAUCUCUAUACAAUUUUAAACAAGCUUCAAAAGCUUAGUAUGAGAAGCUGAAAGGAUGUCUAUUAUAAUGGGGUUUUAGAAACUCAAGAUCUGAUUCUUUUCUAUUCCUAAAGAGAACCAAAUCAUCUAUGAUUGUGAUGCUCAUCUAUGUUGAGUAUCAUAGAUUUAACAGAGGACCAAUUUAUUAGUGCUUAUAAACCAGAUUUUGUGUGUAGACUUUAAAAAUCUCUCUAUGGUCUUAAACAAGCUCCAAGAACUAGUAUGAGUAGAUGAAAGGAUGUCUAUCGCAAUGGGGUUUUAUAAACUCAAGAUCUAUUCUCUAUUCACAAAGAGCUCUAGAUCAUGAUACUCAUCUAUGCUAAUGAUAUCUUAAUUAUUUUCCAAAUAACACUAAGUUAGAAAGCUUUAUUACCAAGUUCAGCAUAAUGUUUGCAUCAAAAGAUCUUGGAACACUACUUUUUUUUUCUGUGAGUAGAAGUCUUAAUGAUACAGAUUAUGUUUAUCUCUUUCAUAGAAAAUGUAUAGGAGAUUUGUUAUCAAAAGUUCCGUUACUAGAGUACAAAGGCAUUGAUACACCUAUGAGUACAUGAUUGAAAUUGCAGAAGAAAGCUCAAGAAAAUCUUGGUCAUUAUGUUGAAGAUAAUCUUGGUCAUUAUGUUAAAGAUCCAACACAUUACAGAAGUAUUGUUAGAGGGAAACAAUACUUAAUAUUAACAAGACCUGAGAUUGCCAACAAACGAGGUCAAUAUUUAUCUGCACCUACACUUCAACAUCUCGUGGCAUAAAAAAGAUUUCUAAGGUAUUUGAAAGCCGCUCAAGAUUAUGACUCAAGUUUGUUAGAAAUGGAGAUAUGAAGCUUACAGGGUUUAUAGAUGUAGACUGGGCUUGUGACUUAGAUGACAGACAAUUUAUUGGUGCCUAUUGCAUCUAUCUAGGUGACAAUUUGAUAUCUUAGUCAUCAAAGAAGCAAUCAGUCAUUACUAGAUCAAGUAUUGAGAGUGAGCACAAAUCCUUAGAUUCAACAAAGUGUAGAGUUGAGUUGGUUAUAGUUUUUAUUUUUUGAAAUAGGAGUACAUUGUAUAGAGAAACCUACCAUUUGGUGUGAUAUCAUCAGCACAAUUGAACUAGCUAAAAACCCUAUUUAUCACUCAAGAACAAAGCACAUUGAGAUUAAUAUGCACUUUAUCAGAAAAUAUAGUAAUUGCAAGGGAGCUUAACAUCUACUAUAUACCAAGUCAGGAGCAAGUUGCUGAUAUUAUGACCAAACCUCAUUUCCAUCACUUCAACUCUCUGACAGCCAAACUUAAUGUUCUCCUCAAUCCCUUAAGUUUAAAGGGGGUUGUUGCACAUUGUUCGGAUUAUAUAAAGGCAAAGAGAAGCAAGCUUAAGCUAAAACUGAAAUAGGUCGGCAAUGCCAAAUCAUUAGAGUUCAUUAAGGAGAGUCAUAGCUCAGUUGACAACACAGCAUAAGUUGUUAAGAUAGCUGCUAACACACAAUGUGUGAAUAAUCGAAUUGUAGCUAGCUUAGUGAUAACAAAUAUAGAUUAGUUACAAAUUGUUAUAGUUGAUAGUGUGUGUAAAUAUGAAGAUGUACUCAUUCAGUUGUGAAUAAAAGUUCUAGAUUCAAGAAAUACAUUUUCUCUGAGAUUUUCUCUUAAACCAAACACUCUUUUCUUAAUCUCUUUGAGAAUUAAAUUAUGAAACACAUGGAUGACAAUUUAAAUUAAAUAAAGAAAAUAGGUGACUAAUUCAAAUUGAAUCAGGUAAGGAUUAUAGAGGGUUUUUCUGUAUAAAAGAGAUAUACAAAGCCUUCAAGGCAUCUUUAUUACCUCCCAUUCUAUCUCAUAUUUUAUUCAUCAAUUUUUCCUUUGCUAUUUUAAAUUGUUGUGCUUGGAGUGUGACCUCACAAUAGUGUCACUGUGUCCUAAUGGUCAACAUGCUUUAUUUGUGUCCUUUUUGAACUAGAAAAUUUUCUUAAAGGAGAAGAAAUUGGUCUUAACAACAAGUGCUUCAUGCAUGCCUUGAUGAAUUUAUGGUUGAUGCUGAGAAAACAAUUCUGUGAAUACUAUCAGAUGAAUGGUAACAAUGAUGUGAAUAGUACCAACAAUUACUAUUCAUGUUUUAGACUUAAAAGGAAGCAAUCUUGACUCAUAUUUCCAAUAACAUUAAUUAAACACGUGAAUAUAUAUGUACAAUUGAAAAUGGAAUCAACAGAGAUUUUCCCGAAAUCUAAAUAGUUCUAAAUUAAUAUGUCCGGAUAUUAUCUUCAUUUUUCUAUUUUGGACAUUGAUUUUAAGCAAGUCAUCAUAUAAAUAAGACAAGAUUUAACUAAAUUACAUAAAAUGACAAAUAUCAGUUUAACUAAAUUAAAAUAAUUUUACCUCUACAAAUCAUGAACCGUUUCAUCUUUAAAUCCUAGUAUUGGAAAUUCAUCAUUUCAAUUAUCAAACUAAAAAGGACAAUAUACUUCUGACUAAUUUACUUCCUGCAGUCCUUUCAUUUACAAAACGAAAUUGUGAAUCUUGGAGAUUGAUUCAAAAACAUAAUUAAGCUAAAUGUUUAUGAAAUAUUUGUUUCCAAAAGCUAAUAUGUUCCUUUUUCAAGGCUUCCUAAGUAGAGCUACUACCAGGGCUGGCAAAAUCCGGGUUGCUAAUAAAUCUAACAUAACAUUGUCAAAGAUUAACAAGCCGUAUCUCCUGCCGCUUGCUUCUGGGAACUUAUCAAUGGGAACUGCAAUGGUAAUUCGUAUAGAAAGUGCAAUCUUGAUAAGCAGCUGACAGCAAAAUCUUUUGCAAUAAUCUAAUAAAUCAUUUCAAAUCUUUUUAAUUUGCAAUCUUUUUUAAAUUCAUUAGUUGAUUUUUAAUCUUUUUUAAUUCAAGUCCUUUUAAUUUUUAAUCUUUUUUAAAUUCAUUAGUUGAUCCCACUUUUGCAGAGUUUUACUUUGGGAUUUAUGUCUGAAUUUCCACCACUUCUCUCAAUCCAAAUCUUGCGUUUUGUAUGUGGACGCGCUUAUUCCCUGCCCUAAGUGCCCCAGUUGCACGCUUUGUAACAUAAUUUAAUAAUUGCCCUCAAGAGUUUGACAGAGUGAUCUUUAGGUUUUAUCUUUUGUUAUUCACUCGAUUUCGAAUAUUCUUGGAAAGAUAGGAAUUAAAAAAUUAAUUUAAAUUUUGUUGAUCUCCUACCUUUAAUUAAAAAAAAAAGUUUACAAAACAUAAUAUUAAACCAAUCCAGAUUAAUAUUCUAAUUGAUUAUUGUUAAUCUUGGUUGGGGCUUCCCAGUCUCAGAUGGAAGUCACACACAUUCAUGGCUCCACUCUCUCUUGUGAUUCUGAUGGGAUUUACACUUCAAUUACCUUUUGCAUGCACAUGCAGGUAUAUACACAAUUUAUUCAUCUUUCAAAUAAUUAUUAAUUAGCUCCCAUGUCAUAAUUUUUUCUUUCUCUUUCACCCUUUUUUUUUUAUGAAGUGGUUUAAUUUUGGUUCACACAUACAGCCAUAGGUGCUUGAUAGACCUUUCGUAAUUACGAAACCAUUAAUAAAUAGUAAUAAUUUCCGAGUACGUAGUUGUAGCUUUUAUUAAUUCUCUGUCCGUAUACUUAAUAAAUAAUAUCUACCUUCAAUAUUUCAAUGAAAAAUAUUGGAGUCAAAUCAGCAAAGACUUUAUAUUGGGAGUAAAAAAACUGAUACAAUCCCAAAAACCUGAAAAACAAUAUUCGAAUCUCAUUUCUGUGAAUUUAGGGGAAAAAAAGGAAUAUAAACUCAUAUAAUUACUUUUCUGUGUAAGAAGCAACUGAUCAUACUAACCCAAGUGUAUGAACAGAUUAAAUGGUUGUUUGCAAUGAGCUUCUUCUCGAAAACUUCCAAAACGCUUGGAGCUAUAGCAGCUGUAUUAUCAUCCUCCGGUUGUAAUGCAUAGCCAUCUUGUAGCGCCGAAGAAACGAGCUGUUUGUUCAAUAGUUUCUGACGAUUUGUACUGCUAAUAAUACCUUCACUGUGUGUAUUUUUUUUUAUUUGUUAAAUGAAAUGAUCUUUGAGAGGAGCAUUUGAAUGAGGCCUUUUUGCUCGGACUUAUGUUUACGAUGGCGCCGUGUCUUUUUGUCAAUGGCGAUGCAAUUGUUUUAAAGCAGCCUGAGGAUUGAUGGCCAGCAAAGAUAUUAACAAGUAUCUUGACGCUAAGAUUUGAUUCGAUCCAUUAAGUGGUUGUUCUCACUAGAUCUAGGUCAAAUCUGAUUAAAAUAAAUAAAAUUUAUAUUUUAGGGAAAUAAUGGGCUAAGCUUGGUUUAGGUAUGUUUUUCUGACAUUUGGGGCAAGAGAUAUAGCUAAUGUGAUCUGGGAGGUGAACUGCAAUUAUUUAGGAGGUGAACUGAUGAGGUGAUUCGGGAGGUGAAUUGAGUGUUUUGAAUUUAGAAUAACAUGGAGAGCUCAACAGAGCUCAUGAGAGUUAAUUUAGAGAGUCCACAUAGAAAGCUCAGGAAAUAGCUCUAGCGAACUUGAGGAGCUCACAUGUUUUCAUUUUAGAGGCAG